CACAACUCAUCAAACCUAAUUUUUGUGCCUUAGGGCACCCAUCCCGAAAACAUUUUUCUCAAAGGUAAAAUCAACCAACACACGAACAUUUUUCUACUCUGAACUACGAAUCUCUGAUUCCUCAUCCCCUGAGUGAUACGUAGGCACAAGGGCCACAAUCCUUGGCGAGCACAAUAAUGAAAAACCUCAGGGUCUCAUCAUUCUCUUUACACACACUUUUGAAAAAAAAAUAAUCGGGAUAAAUACCCACAUAUGUAAACAACCCAAAUGGUUCCCACGGAGUACCAUAAAUGUGGGGGUGCUACUACCUUCCCCUUGUGAGACCGAUUCCUUAUUCCUUUUUAACGCUUCCCGUGCGCAUCUCUUUUUCGAGGGUUUUAUCGACUAUUUCCCCUCGCCUCUCCGAUAGAGGCAUAUAAAUAAAAUUCAAUGGCGACUCUUCUAAUUUUUUCCUUUGAUGGGCAACUCUUUAGUUCAAGUUUGUCUGGUUUUAUUAUCCUGAAAAUCCUGGUGGCGACAGUUGGCAACUUGUUGGGGACACUAGUUCCCUAAGCAAGUCUAGCGUAGUUUGGGUUAUUUUCCUUUUUGCGUGUGUGGGGAUUUAUCCUUUUAUUUAUCUUUUCUAUGUAUAUAUUGCUUAUAUUGCUAACUUGUAUAUAUUUUCUUUGUUUGCCUGUUGGUCUGAAACCAUGACUUUGUGACAAAGAAAGUUUGGAGGCAAUAAUGAUUGCAAUGAAAACUAUGUGUGAAAGAUUCACCACCCGAGUCUGAGAGUUUGCUUGAGAUAGGAGAGGUUGAGUAGUAUUGGUCCUCGAGGUGUCUUCCUCUUAAGGGUCAUACGAGAACCUCACUUAGUGGUAGACUCUCUUAAGGGGAUUGAUGAUCGUCGUGCUUUCAGCAUAAGCAUGCUUUCCUUUAUUAGAGUUUGUGACCCUAAGACCCCCCCCUUUUAGAAUAUUUAACCAUGGCCAUCCUAGACCAAUGGCCGCGUAGUAUAUGUCCCUGAGGUGCCUUCCUCAUAGGGGUCAAUACGAAGAUCUCACUUAGAGUAGAUGAGCUUGAUGGAGCAGUCGUCUGGUGACAUAAGCGGUUGACAGUCAAGGAAGUCCAUGACUCUAGGGGCAAUGUCUUAAACCCAAUUUCUCAAAAGCCUUAGAUCAUAGAAAGCGAGAACCUUGGUUUGAAAAGCAGUCAUUAUUAAACCUCACACUUCGUCACAAUGCUCCGAGAUUUUGAACUCGUGCCUAAGUUCCGUAGAAAUUAAUAAAAAAAUCAAUCAUUCAUAUAUACAUGCAUUCGUUCAUCAUCAAACUAAUAAGAAAAUAUCUUAAGAAUUUUGUUUUUUCAAAUGCGGAAUUACAAUACCUUUUACCAACAUAAUCAUGGAUUCCUCAACAAGGAAAAUCACAUCUACUUUCAGAUUAAAGAGUCCUGACAUCAACCCAUUGAAGGUCCUUUUCUCAAGAAUAUUAUACCUCAAGGACAACAAAUUUAGAUCCAACUUUGAUAACAUCGUAGCUCUUCUAACUAAGGAAGUUGACUAUGGUGUUAUCACUACAAUGGCCCAAUACUAUGACGUCCCUCUGAGAUGUUUCACCUUUCCUGAUUUCCAAAUCUCUCCAACCUUGGAAGACCUUGAGAGACUUCUCAACCGAUCAAUAAAGGAAUACAACCCCUUCCCCAAAUUGGAAGAAGGUUUCUGCUUGACCUAACUUUCAAUCAUUUUGGGUAUCAACACCAACAAACUAGUGGCCAAUUGGGGCACUAAAGGUUCCGUUAAGGGCUUGACUCAAAUAUUCCUCUAAGCCCAUGCUUGGGAGAUGAUAAAGGAAUAAAGGCCCGAUUUCUGCAAUGCAACCUUAGCACUUAUGAUACAUGGAAUUGUUUUAUUCCCAAAUGUAGACAAGUUCAUGGAUCAUUUGGCGGUUGAAGUUUUUCUAAUAAAGAACCCAAUUUUGUUUCUGCUUGUCGACUUCUAUCAUACCUUCCACACGAGGCAUGAGAAGAAAAGAGGUAACUUCCUCUGUUGUACUCCCAUGUUGCACCUAUGGAUGAUGGCUUGCAUUCCUUAAUGUGGACCCUUUUCUCAAAACAAUCUGACAUGGCCUCAAAAGUUCGCAUCUCUCUCUGCCAGUUCAAUCCUAUGGUACAAGAGAGGAUGGGAUACAAAAUAUGCCAUUUCAAGAUGUGAAGGGUUCCUAAACGUUCCCUUAAUAGGAACGUAAGGCUAUAUCAACUACAACUUCGCUUUACUUAAGAGACAAUUGGGGUAUGCCAUGUUGAGUUCUCCCGAGGAGAGAGACUUCAUUCCUUUCAUCGUCAAUAUCGUAUACCCGCUCGAUUUAAAUGUAAAGGGAGUGCGAAGAGUGUAACACCCCGAUAAAAAUAAGAUAAUUAUUUAAUUUAAGUUAAUAGUAUAUUUAUUAAUUUAAUUAAAUAAUUGGAAUAUUAUUGGAAUUAUUAUUAUUAUUGGAAUAAUAUAAAUUGGAAUAAUAAAGUUGGAAUAUAUAUAAAGAGUUCCAUUUGGUAAAAAAGGUUUUUCACGUGAAAACCAGAGAAGCGACAGAAAGUGAGAAAAGGGCAAAGAGGAAGAGCAAGAGAACGAGGGUUGAAGAAGGGGAAAAGCUUGAAGCUAAAGGAUUGCCGGAUUAACUCAGGUAAGGGGGGUUUAUCGUCGUUUAAUGGGUAUUAUGGGUUAACAUGUAAUGGGUAGUNNNNNNNNNNNNNNNNNNNNNNNNNNNNNNNNNNNNNNNNNNNNNNNNNNNNNNNNNNNNNNNNNNNNNNNNNNNNNNNNNNNNNNNNNNNNNNNNNNNNNNNNNNNNNNNNNNNNNNNNNNNNNNNNNNNNNNNNNNNNNNNNNNNNNNNNNNNNNNNNNNNNNNNNNNNNNNNNNNNNNNNNNNNNNNNNNNNNNNNNNNNNNNNNNNNNNNNNNNNNNNNNNNNNNNNNNNNNNNNNNNNNNNNNNNNNNNNNNNNNNNNNNNNNNNNNNNNNNNNNNNNNNNNNNNNNNNNNNNNNNNNNNNNNNNNNNNNNNNNNNNNNNNNNNNNNNNNNNNNNNNNNNNNNNNNNNNNNNNNNNNNNNNNNNNNNNNNNNNNNNNNNNNNNNNNNNNNNNNNNNNNNNNNNNNNNNNNNNNNNNNNNNNNNNNNNNNNNNNNNNNNNNNNNNNNNNNNNNNNNNNNNNNNNNNNNNNNNNNNNNNNNNNNNNNNNNNNNNNNNNNNNNNNNNNNNNNNNNNNNNNNNNNNNNNNNNNNNNNNNNNNNNNNNNNNNNNNNNNNNNNNNNNNNNNNNNNNNNNNNNNNNNNNNNNNNNNNNNNNNNNNNNNNNNNNNNNNNNNNNNNNNNNNNNNNNNNNNNNNNNNNNNNNNNNNNNNNNNNNNNNNNNNNNNNNNNNNNNNNNNNNNNNNNNNNNNNNNNNNNNNNNNNNNNNNNNNNNNNNNNNNNNNNNNNNNNNNNNNNNNNNNNNNNNNNNNNNNNNNNNNNNNNNNNNNNNNNNNNNNNNNNNNNNNNNNNNNNNNNNNNNNNNNNNNNNNNNNNNNNNNNNNNNNNNNNNNNNNNNNNNNNNNNNNNNNNNNNNNNNNNNNNNNNNNNNNNNNNNNNNNNNNNNNNNNNNNNNNNNNNNNNNNNNNNNNNNNNNNNNNNNNNNNNNNNNNNNNNNNNNNNNNNNNNNNNNNNNNNNNNNNNNNNNNNNNNNNNNNNNNNNNNNNNNNNNNNNNNNNNNNNNNNNNNNNNNNNNNNNNNNNNNNNNNNNNNNNNNNNNNNNNNNNNNNNNNNNNNNNNNNNNNNNNNNNNNNNNNNNNNNNNNNNNNNNNNNNNNNNNNNNNNNNNNNNNNNNNNNNNNNNNNNNNNNNNNNNNNNNNNNNNNNNNNNNNNNNNNNNNNNNNNNNNNNNNNNNNNNNNNNNNNNNNNNNNNNNNNNNNNNNNNNNNNNNNNNNNNNNNNNNNNNNNNNNNNNNNNNNNNNNNNNNNNNNNNNNNNNNNNNNNNNNNNNNNNNNNNNNNNNNNNNNNNNNNNNNNNNNNNNNNNNNNNNNNNNNNNNNNNNNNNNNNNNNNNNNNNNNNNNNNNNNNNNNNNNNNNNNNNNNNNNNNNNNNNNNNNNNNNNNNNNNNNNNNNNNNNNNNNNNNNNNNNNNNNNNNNNNNNNNNNNNNNNNNNNNNNNNNNNNNNNNNNNNNNNNNNNNNNNNNNNNNNNNNNNNNNNNNNNNNNNNNNNNNNNNNNNNNNNNNNNNNNNNNNNNNNNNNNNNNNNNNNNNNNNNNNNNNNNNNNNNNNNNNNNNNNNNNNNNNNNNNNNNNNNNNNNNNNNNNNNNNNNNNNNNNNNNNNNNNNNNNNNNNNNNNNNNNNNNNNNNNNNNNNNNNNNNNNNNNNNNNNNNNNNNNNNNNNNNNNNNNNNNNNNNNNNNNNNNNNNNNNNNNNNNNNNNNNNNNNNNNNNNNNNNNNNNNNNNNNNNNNNNNNNNNNNNNNNNNNNNNNNNNNNNNNNNNNNNNNNNNNNNNNNNNNNNNNNNNNNNNNNNNNNNNNNNNNNNNNNNNNNNNNNNNNNNNNNNNNNNNNNNNNNNNNNNNNNNNNNNNNNNNNNNNNNNNNNNNNNNNNNNNNNNNNNNNNNNNNNNNNNNNNNNNNNNNNNNNNNNNNNNNNNNNNNNNNNNNNNNNNNNNNNNNNNNNNNNNNNNNNNNNNNNNNNNNNNNNNNNNNNNNNNNNNNNNNNNNNNNNNNNNNNNNNNNNNNNNNNNNNNNNNNNNNNNNNNNNNNNNNNNNNNNNNNNNNNNNNNNNNNNNNNNNNNNNNNNNNNNNNNNNNNNNNNNNNNNNNNNNNNNNNNNNNNNNNNNNNNNNNNNNNNNNNNNNNNNNNNNNNNNNNNNNNNNNNNNNNNNNNNNNNNNNNNNNNNNNNNNNNNNNNNNNNNNNNGAUUUGGGUGGGAUUCAGGUUGGUUGGUGCGAGUGUGUUCAGCAAAAUAGAUUUGAGAUCGGGGAUAUCAUCAAAUACGUGUUGAAAGCUGAGGGAUAUUCAGAAGACUGCUUUCAGAACAAAGGUAUGGAAUUAUGAGUUUUCUGUAAUGCCUUUUGUGUGUGACUAAUGCGCCUGGGGUAUUUAUGGAGUAUAUGAAUAGGAUUUUCCAUCCGUACCUAGGACAGUUUGUGGUGGUGUUUAUUGACGAUAUUUUGGUGUAUUCGAAAUCUGAAGAGGGCAUGUUGAACAUUGAGAGUGGUUUAGGAGUUUCUACGAGGAAAAGGAGUUAUUGCUAAACUGUCUAAGUGUGGAAUUUUGGUUAGAAGAGGUUAGUUUCUUGGUUCAUGUGGAUUUCAAGAGGUGGGUAUUUGCUGUUGAUCCUUCUAAUAGAAGCGGUUAUCUUAAGUGGGAAGCCCGAAGUCUAGUUUCUGAGAUAAGGAGUUUUCUUGGACUUGCGGGUAUUAUAGGAAAAUUCAUUGAGGGAUUUUCUAGUUGGCUUAUACGUUUGACGAUGUUGACUAAGAAAGGGGCAAGCGUUUUGUUUGGGACUCAAAAUGUGAAGAAGGUUUCCAAAGAGUUAAAGAGAAGGUUAACUAUUGCUCCUAUUCUGAUAUUACCAAGUCCAUCGAACCAUUUGAGGGUUUACUGUGAUGGUUCGUUGUUGGGUUUGGGUGGUGUUUUGAUGCAGAAUAAGCAGGUUGUAGCUUAUGCUUCGAGACAAAUGAAGGUUCAUGAGAGGAACUAUCCGACACACGAAAUUUAGAGUUUGCAGCUGUGGUAUUUGUUCUGAAGUUAGGAGGCAUUAACUUGUACGGGUCAAGAUUUGAGGUUUUCAAUGACCAUAAAAGUUUAAGUAUUGUUUUGAUCAGAAAGAGCUGAAUAUUGAGACAGAGGAAGAUGGUUAGAGUUUCUUGAAGGAUUAUGACUUUGGUUGAAUUUACCAUCCGGGUAAGCAAACGUAGUGGCUGAUGCAUGGAGUCGGAAUCAUUGCUAUGUCUAUGUUAAUGGUUAGGAAUAAGGAUUUAAUUGAGCAGUUUAGAGACUUGAGUUUGUGUGUUGAGAGUACUCACAAUAGUGUUAAAUUGGAAUGUUGAAGUUAACGAGUGGUAUUUCGGAUGAGAUUAGAGAGGGUCAGAAAUCCGAUUGGCUUUUGGUUGAUAAGUGUACUCUGCUUGAAUCAAGGUCAAAGGUGGUGAAUUCAGAGUUGAUGAGAAUGUGUUUGGAAAUUGGUAAUCGGGUGUGUAUUCCGGAUGUUACCGAACUAAGAAGAGUAUUCUUGAGGAAGAACAUCGUAGUGGCUGAAUUCAUCUGGGGCUACGAAGAUGUUCAUGAUUUGAAAAAGUUUUUGUGUGGUCUGGAAUGAAAAGAAGAAAAUUGCGAGGUUUUUGUUAUUUUUCUUUGACUUGUCAGAAGUCAAAGAAUUGAGCAUCAGAAGUCGUCUGGGUAAUGCAACCUUUGGCUAUUCCAGAGUGGAAGUGGAUAGUAUCAGUAUGGAUUUUGUUUUCUGGUUUACCGAGGACAGUUAAAAUUUUGAAGCUUUGGGUGAUUGUUGACAAGAUUGACAAAAUCGGCUCAUUUCAUCCCAGGAAUGGAUUAUCCGUUGGAGAGAUUAGGUGAGUUGUAUUUGAGAAAAUUAAUAAGUUUGGCAUGGUCAUUCCGUCGAGUAUGUUUCAGACAGAGAUCCUAGAUUUACAUCGAAGUUCUGGAAGGUUUGCAGAGGGCUUUGGACUAAGCUGAGAUUGAGUUUGCAUAUCAUCCGCAAGAGAGGUCAGACUGAGAGGACAAUUCAGUCGCUGGAGGAUCUUUGAGGGCUUGUGUUUUUUGGAAAAGGGAGGGUGCUUGGGUGUAUUUUUACCUUUGAUUGAGUUUUACCUUACAACAAUAGAUUUUCAUUCGAGCAUUGGUAUGGAGGACCGUUUUGAAGCUUUGUAUGGUAGGAGAUGUCGGACACUUAUGUUGGUAUGAGUCCGGUUGAGAGUGUUUGUGGUUGGGACCGGAGAUUGUUUCAACAAAACUACGAAAAGAUUAAGAUGAUUCAGAGAGAUGAGGGAUUGUCAGAGUCGUUCAGAAGAGUUAUCACGACAAGAGGAGGAAUCACUUGAGUUCCCAAGAGGGGGAGUCAUGUGUUUCUUCGUUGUUUUACUCCGAUAACUGGGGUUGGUCGAGCUUUGGAAGUCGAAGAAGUUGACACCUCGAUUUAUUGGUCCUUAUCAGAUUUUGGAGAGGAUAGGGGGGUAGCCUAUCGUAUCGCUUUACCGCCGUCAUUUGCGAAUUUGCAUGAGUUUUUCAUUGUGCUUCAGUUGAGGAGGUAAAAUUCCUGAUUCGUCGCAUGUGGUCCAAGUAGAUGAAUGUACAGGUGAGAGAUAACCUGACUGUGGAACAUUCACCUAAUGAGGAUCGAGGAUCGAGAGUUGAAGCAGUUGCGGGGUAAAGAGAUUGCUUUGGUAAAGGUAGCUGGGGGAGGGACCAGCAGGUGAAUGUGACUUGGGAACUUGAGAGUCAGAUGAAGGGUCUUAUCCGGAGUUUAUUCGCUUGAGUAUGUUUUCGAGACGAAAACUCUUUUAGUGGGGAGAGUUGUAACACCCCCGAUAAAAAAUGAAAGAUAUUAUAAUUUAAGUUAAUAGUAUAUUUAUUAAUUUAAUAAAUUAAUUGGAAUAUUAUUGGAAUUAUUUUAUUAUUGGAAUAAUAAUAAAUUGGAAUAAUAAAGUUGGAAUAUUAUAUAAAGGUUCCAUUUGGUAAAAAAGGUUUCACGUGAAAACCAGAGAAGGACAAGAGUGAGAAAAGGGCAAAGAGGAAGAGCAGGAGAAGAGUUGGUGAAGAAGGAGAGCUUGAAGCUAAAGGAUUGCCGGAUUAACUCAGUAAGGGGGUUUAUCGUCGUUUAAUGGGUAUUAUUGAGUUAACAUGUAAUGGGUAGUGAUAAGCGUUGAUUGACCUAAUUGGAUGAUGUGCUGAAAAAUUGUGAUGAAUAAGUUAUGUUAAAGCUGUAAUUGAUCUGUUCUUUGGGUGAGUUGUGAUUUUUCCGAACGUGUAGCUUUUUACGGAAUUGGAAUCGGAGGUCCGGAAGUCCUCCAACGGCGGAAAAUACGGAGAAUUCUGCAUUCUGCUUCGGUGUGAGCGCAGGAACAGCUUUCUGUCUUGCGUUAAACGGUAACCCAGGGUGUUAACCGGUUAACACUGUUAUGAAUUAUGAGAAAUGCUGUCUGUCUUGCGUAUAACCGGGUUAACCAGGGCGUUAAACGGUUAACACUGUUUAAAUGUGCCAGGAAGCGUGUUUUGUGUUGCGUUAACCGGUUAACCAGGGCGUUAACCGGUUAAACACUGUUGGAAAGUGGAAAAAAAUGAUAUUUAAAUAUUGUAAACAAUUGAAGAUUUGGCCUAUAUUGGUGUAUGAUAUAGAGGGAUCAAUUUCCCGUUGUUUUUGAGCAGUGUAGGUAUUAGUAGAGUGUGUAAUACUGGUGAUUGAUUAUGUGGCAUGAAAAUGAUGAUUCUGUAUAAUUGGUUAUUGAUGAUGUUGAUUGGUGUGCAUAAUAUUGUGAAUAUAUCUAUUAUGUAUGCUAUUGUGAAUGGACUGUUUAUGGCUAGAGUGUGAGAUAUGUCCAUUGUGGAUUGUUUGAUGUUGCAUGCUAGGUGAUUUAGCGUGCAUAGUAUGGCCUUUAUGGUGGUAGCUAAUUUCCAUGGUGAGGAAAAUUAGUGAUUGAGUUAUUGUGGAUUGUUGUUGAUGUUUGCAUGCUAGGUGAUUUUAGCGUGCAUAGCUAACCCUUGGGGUGGUAGCUAAUUCCCAUGGUGAGGGAUUAGUGAUGUGAGUCACUAGGUCUCAAAUGAAUUGGGACUAGUGAGCUUGGUAGCCGUAUCUGGAUUUGAUCGGUGAGGUUGAACCAUGUGUUCACGAAUAGUCGGUACCGGCAUUGCAUGGAGUCUCAUUGCAUAAUGUUAUGUAUGACGUAUAAUAUGAAUGGAUGUAUUCCAUUAUUAUUACGUGUGUUUUAUGUUGGGUUGAGUAUGAUUAUGAUUUUUAGUGUGAUGUUGCCUUUGCUGAAUGUGUGAUCUGAUUUGGGUGAUGAAAUGUGUUAAAUUACUUAGCAUUACAUGAUAUUUUAUAAUGCUUAUUAUAUCGAUUGGAGGAACUCACCCUUACAAAUAUUGUUCAGGUAACGAGCAGUGAUUGAGUAAGAAGCUAGUGUUUGAAGCCUAGUGUAGUCCUUUUAGUGGGUCAUGCUCUGUAGAUGUAACAUCGGGGACGGGAUGUUUUACCUUGAUUUCAUUUUGGUUGUUGAAUAAGUUUACAUGUAUAUGUGUUACAUGGUUUGCAUGAUUGAUUAGGAUCCUCUAUCCGUGCAAUUGUGCAAGAUGGUUUAUUUUGCUUAUUUAAAAAUGAGCAUGACAAACUAUUUUGGUGAAUGGUGUGAAGUGUCAAGUGUGACACCCUUAAAUUGCAUAUCUACUCUGAUUUAUAUUUGUUGAAUUAAUUAAUUAUUGGGGUAUUUUAGAAGGGUGUUACAAAGAGCUUGAACAUACAUAGUCCGGAUUGACUAAGAAUAGGGCAAGAAGAAUAUCCUAGUCGAGGAACCCUACUUUGUAUGGGUAAAAGAAAGGGAUAGGGUUGUCAAUAUGCCUUUCCUGUUUGACCCUUCUUCAUUCCUGUUGAUUCCCGAGCCUAAGCCUAUUCUGCAAAAGGACAUGGACAAGCUUAUCGACCAAAUCAAAGAGCUUGAGUUGGAAAACACUCAAUUACGAGUCCACGUCUUGGAAGACAAGGGUAAGCAAGUCUGUGAAAAGUUUGCAGAUACCAAAAAGAGACUUCGAGAAGUCAAAGGCCAGAGAGUUUGGGUUGGUGGAGCUUUACAAGGAGCUAAUUAUGAGAUAGACUUUUGCAAUGACAAGUUGUAUAAAAUGUACUGAGUCAUUAAGGACCUUGAGAAGACCGUUGAGAGGUCUAAUGCUAUGAAGAAAGAAGCUAUAGAGGAUUACGAAGCCCAAAUCUUCGAGCUUACGACCACUCUAAAGGAGUGUAAGGAUCUCUUAGAUAAGGAACAACUAGAGAAGGAAAAGAUUCACCGAAGCUUCUUGUGAGAGCAGUUCAAUCAUGGACGAGCCUGCAAACAAAUCAAAAAUCUGAAGAUGGGAAUCUGUGAUCAAGCAUACAUGAAGUUGCAAAACCAGUGCAGACAUUGGGAGGAGUGAUGCCAUGGAGCCGAAGCUUCUAUUGCUUAAAGGGAUGAAAUCAUCCAUAACCUAUAAACCCUUUACAAUGAGUGGAGGGACAAAUACGCCAACAUGGAGGUGCUAACGAAUUACGCUCUCCAAUACUUUUCUGACAAGUUGAAGGAAGUUGAUGUAAUCAUGUGCCCAGAUAACACCCCUAAAGAGGUCUACCAUUUCGUCAAAUUCUGCAAGAAGAUGAUGGUCGAACUCAUCAUCGACAUUGAGGCUCUCCGCAAGUCUCAAGGGGUCACUUUUAGGGCCGACAUCUAGUUUGAUUAUUUGUCUCAAAUCGAUUGUACUUUACAAUUCCCUUGUAUUUGUAAUUCAUGUGAUUUCCUUUCAAAGGAUGAAUGGAGCUUAUGUGGUUCACUUUGUGUGCUUUCCUUUAUUCUUGAUUGUAAACGUAAAUUGUUGAGUAUUUCUUGCAAUGAAACAACAUGAAUAACUAAAGAUAUUUGCAUUAACAAAAAUAAUAAACAUUCAUGCAUCAUUUGCAUCUUUCAAAAACAUAAAAAGAAAACUCAUUCGUCCACCCUUUUCUCUGAUCAGAAAUGACACUUCCAAGCUGACUUUCCGAUACAACACGCGAAGACACCAAAAAGUCAUCAUGGAUCAUCUCGAACAAAACCAAACAGCGCUCCGAGAAGAAGUAUCACAAGUGAGGUCCCAAAUGGGGCAGUUGAUGGAAAAGAUAUAAGCAGUCGCUCGAGGCCAAGAGAUGAUAGCCAAUAUGCAAGAUGAAAUGAACCAGCGUGAUCAUAUUGUCGUCCCCCCUCCAAUCCUCCUGUCAUAGAGAAUCCAGUACCUCCUCCUCAAUGAAACCCUGUCGUUCAUAUAGGUGCACCUGACGGUGUCCCUCCCGUUACUCUUAACCCUUUUGUCAUUGAGAUUGAUGACCACCAAUAUGCUUUCUUCAGCCCUAGGGCUACCUCCAUGUACGAAGCUUUUGGUCCCACAACCAAUGAAGUGGAGAAGAAAGUAAAGGCCAUCGAAGAGUAACUGAAAGCAAUAGAAAGUACUGAUGCAACUGAUAUGCUUGGGUUCCUAGUGUGGUCAUUCCUGCGAAAUUCAAAGUCCCAGACUUUGAAGAGUAUAAAUGCACCAGUGAUCUGAGGACACACAUUCAGGCAUAUUGUUGGAAAAUGGCCGCCUACUCUAAUGACGACCGACUCCUAAUUCACUUUUUUCCAAGAUUCACUAAGUGAAGCAUCAUUAGAGUGGUAGAUGUAGCUUGAGGGUACCCAUACAUGUACUUGGAGAGAAACAGCCAAAGCAUUCCUCAAACAUUAUCAGUACAAUAGUGAUAUGGCGCCGAACCGCACACAAUUGUAAAAUUUAAUGUAGAAGUAUGAGGAAACCUUCAAGGAGUAUGCUUAGAGGUGGAGGGAGCUUGCACCCAGAGUGAAACCUUCGUUGCUAGAAUGAGAGUUGAUAGACAUGUUCAUGGGCAACUUACAAAGCAUGUAUCUCGAUAGGAUGGUAGGGAGUACAUCCUCCAACUUUUUUGAUUUGGUUUUGGUUGGCGAGAGGAUUGAGAACAUGAUCAAAAUGGGUAAAAUUUAGAAUUCUGCGAGUACGUCUGGCAUGACAAAGAAACCUCUCGUCCCAUAUGGAAAGAAAAGGGAACGUGGAACUAACAUCGUCACAGUUAUUUGAGCGAGACCUCCAACAUAUCAAGUUACAUAUCAAUAAGUAGUAGUCGUGGCCCAUGUCCAACAAAUUCAACAACAACCUUUCACAAUACCAGUUCAAUAGCAAUAACAUUAACACUAUCGGUAAUCGCAACAACAACGUUAUCGACAACAACAUCAACAACGUCAUCAACCACAACAACAACAACCAUAAACACAAUAUCAGCAACAACAAAAAAUAUUAAGAAGACCCGAAAGAAGGUUUGACUCAGUUCCAAUGUCGUACAAUCAUAUUAUAUCGUAUCUUUUGAGAGGAUCACUUGUACAACUAAGGGAGUAAGGCCCCCUCCCUCGGUUCUUCCUCACAGAUAUGAUGUAAAUGCCCGUUGCGAGUUCCACUCUGGAGCUCCCGAGCAUUCCAUUAAGAAUCGUAAAGCUUUGAAGUACAAAGUACAAGAUCUAAUUGAUACAAAGGCAAUCACGUUCGCGCUCAACGGACUGAAUGUAAACAACAAUCCCAUGCCUCCGCACAACAAGGUAAAUGUGAAUAUGGUAGAAAUGGACUAUGGAAGAAGGCUGAUAACCUCUAUCGAUGAACUGAAAACUCCACUUAUUAAAAUCAAGAACGUGUUGAUAAAGAGUGACACAUUUCCAAUUUGUAGAAUAACUUGUGAAAUUUGCUUAAUUGACCCUGAACAGUGUGACACUUUGAAGACCUCCAUUCAGAGCUUGAUGGAUCAAAGAAUAUUGUUAAUAGACCAUCCCUUUACAAUCAAUGAAGUAUCCACUCUUGAAAUACCAUUCGAUGAAGUGCCACAUUUGCAGAUUCCAUACAAUAUUUCCCAAAUGACUAUCUCAGUAACUCCUAUUGCUCUUAUGGUGAUAACAAACCUAACACAGUUCCCUUAUGACAACACGAAGGUAGUUCCGUGGGUGUUUGACUCCACAGUAUAUAUCCAUGGCCAAAAGAUGCAAGAAAAGCCUAUGAAGUCUAAUGACCCAAUAGUAAGCAUAGCUGGUACCAGUGGUGUAACUAGAAGCGGUAGAACCUUUGCUCCCACAUCUCCCCCGGUUGACAAAAGCGGCCCUUCAGCCCAAGACAAAGGAAAACAGGUUGAGGACGCCCAGAAGAAGCCAAAUUUGAAGGUGGAGAAAAAUAAGAAAUGGGGGUUUUAAUUAUUUUCACAAUAAUUAAAAACUUUUGCAACACCACACACACAAAAUAAAUGCUAACAACACAAAGAAUUUAUCCUGGUUCGCUUGAAAUUCAAAGUUACUCCAAUCCACCGGCCAAGGUGAUUUCGACUUCAAUAAGGACUUAAUCCACUAAUCUCAACAUAUUACAAAAAUAUGUCUAAGAGUUUAGCAACCUCCUAGCCUUCUCAAGUCUACAAACCUAAACAAGUCACUUGAGGAGUUACAACCAAUUUCAAGAAUUAUAAGUGUUUUAUUCAAUGCUUCUAGAUAAGAAGUAUAAGCGCACUUAGAGAACAAUGAAAGAACAACCACACAAUUUUGAGCAACAACUUUUGUAUCGAAAUUGAAUAUUACAACAAUGAUGGUGGAAGAUGUGAAAAUGUUGUAGUGUAUCGAGAUUUUUUUCAGAAGGUUGUGACGAGGCCUUUAUAUAGCUUUUAGAGAUGAUACUGUUUGAGGGAAAUCAAUGGAGAUCUCAUGCCAGCUAUUGGAGUUAAUGAUAGUAAAUUUCUUGUCCUUUCCGUAACAAUCUUGGACAUAAUCCAUUGUUUCCUUAAAAGGAAUUGUACUACACUUUGAAAGCUUACAUAGUAAGUUUCUGAUCCGGUGAUAUCAGAUAGCAUGUUGGACGUGUAUUAGAGUAAGCAUGAUCAAAGUCUUUGAGCUAGAGUCCAGGUAUUUCUUGAAGUCUUCAGAUAUUCUCUUGGAGAGUCUUCAGAUAUUCUCUUGCAGAGUCUUUAGAUAUUACUUGCAGUCUUCAGAUGUCAGAGUUGAACUACAACAUCAGAUUGUUCAGGUAAUUACUCCUGAGAUGCAUUCUGUUUGGAGUCAGAUUUGAUUUCUCUUUGUGUUGGUUCAACUUUUCUGGACUGGUGCGGAUGUCACAUAUUCGUUUCCUCAGAGUCAUUUUAACUUAGAAUCCUGCACACUUAAGAAAAAUAUUAGGGUACCAAAUUGUUUCAUUCUUUGUUAUCAUCAAAACUUAGAGAUAUAUUGCAGAAUCAAAAUCUUGUUCUAACAACCUCCCCAUUUUUGAUGAUGACAAAACUAAGAAUUUUGAUGAAACAAUAAGUACUUUCAGAGAUAAAAAUGAUCAGAGUCUGAUAGAGAAUGACUCCCUUUGAGAUUAGCAAUCUCCCUAUGAGUUUGAUACUUAAGGAAAUUUUUAAAGAAUUUAGUAUUAGAUAAUUUCUUACCAGAUCUUCUUAGGUUUCUUGCCUUGAUUUAUUAGUUUCUCAGAUAAAAAUUCAUUUUCCCUUUGUUCUGAUAGAUCUUGUAAAAAGACUUAGACUAUGCAAUGAUUUUAUGUCAGAAUGUAAGCAGUUCAUUUCUGAGAGUUAGAUACGUUAUUUCAUCAAAAGGACUUUUAUUUAUUUCUCCCCCUUUCUGUCAUACUCAAAAAGUAAUAAACACAAAAUUUUCAUUCAUAUGUAAAAUUAUACAGAUACAUAAGGAAGCAGAAGAUAAAGCCUCAGAGACAAAAACACUUAGAAAAAAAACAUAAAAAGUCCUAGAGUGCAUAAGGGUUUAGAGGAUGAGACAUCCUCUGAAGAAGUUGAGCUAGCAGAUUUUGUAUGUUGGAGUUGACUUGGUCAUGCUUAUCGAGUCUAGCUCUGACUAGUUGUUGUUCUUUAUGUAACUCUUCCAGAGUCCUGAUGACUAAGGGAGCAAGUUCAGUUGUUGAUGACUCUCCUUGAGUCAGAGCAACUUCUGUUGUCUUCGCAACAUCUUCAACAGCUUUCUGAGCAGUUUCAACGGCCAAGGCUGCUUCAACUUCAACUUUUUCCCUGGUUGCAGCUUCUGUAACAACUUUCUUAGUUGCCUCCCUAGUAGCAGCUUCAGCAGCUACUUUCUCCACAGCUUCUCUCUCCGCCUUCUCAGCUGCCUCCUUAGCCAGAUGAACCUCCAGCUUAUCUUUAGCAUUUCUGAUAAAGUCAUUUCUGACUUGUUCAGACAGACCCUUCAGCUUGAAGACUUCAGAAGUCAUCCACCUGAUGAACCCGUUCCAAUGAGUCCUUACUUCAUAAGGAUUGUCAUUGACACUGGAUUCGUCAGAGAGCUUCUUGAGUCUUGAAGCGGAACUCUCUAAGAACUUAGCAAGUGCCUCAUUAAGGGUAGGUAUGAUGAGGGCAAGUUCAGGUUUUAGGAAGGGGUUCAGAGGGUUCUGGAAUAGUUAUAGGGGGUUCAAGUAUGGUUUCAUAGGGUUCUAGUACAGACUGAAUCUUUUUAGAGUUAGUUGUGGCCUGAAGUUCUUCAUGGUUCGGGGAGGUUGGCUCAGGGUUAUCUGAACUAGAGUGUUUAGAGUUGGAAGUUAGGUCAUAAUAAGGGGGAACUGGGGUUAGAGGAAAAGGGUGGUGAUAUAGGUUCGUUGAACAUAAUGGCUUCAAAGAUGGGAAUGGAUAUUGUGUGGAGGUUAAAUUGAGGUAAUGGAGGUGAAGAUGUGAUAGGGCCAUAGGUUUGGGGGUCAGAUGGAUUUGGUUCAGAAAAGGAUGGGUAUAGAAGGUGUUGGUUCAGAUGCGGAAGGGAGUAAAGAGGUUUGUUGUUGAGAUUUGGAUUUUUCUCUGGAAGCUGUAGUUUGUGUGGAAGGUGAAGUGGAGGAGGUAGUAACAGAGGUUGAGAGUGUGGGGGUGGUAGAGGGAUUGAUAAGUUAACCUUUCUAGAACCAGAAGUAAAAGGGGCUUCGGAGAUAGGAGACUUACUUGGUGUUGAAGAGCUCAGAGGCACUGGCUGCUUCUGAGUCGCUAAAGACUCUCCCAGCUUGAGACUCUUCUUCUUCUUCCUAGAUGGUUCCCUCUUUCUCUUCAGGAAGUUUGGGGGUUGAUCUGGAAGCCAAUCCAGGAUGAAACCAGAGAUGUCAACUCCUUGGGCUUCUAGAUCCUACAGGAAGCAAGCAAUGACUUCUGGAGGAUCUAUCUUUGAAAAGAGAUACAUCUCAUAUGUUAUUUCUCUAUGAUCCUUCAGAGCUUCCCAAGAUGUAAGUCUGGUGGGUUUGACUCUGACCUUGUCAAUCAGACCUAUGCUCUUCAAAUUCCUCCCAUUGAGAGGCUUCCCCAUGUCUAUAUUGAUGUCUUCCAUCAUAUUCAAGAAGAUGAGAUGGUCCACUAGACCACUCUCUAUCAGAAUGUCAUAAAUUAAUCUGCCCAGAGGGAUGUAGUUCCUGGGCUUCAUGUUGUUCCUUGUGUCUCUGACAGAAUCCUUUUGAUACUUGAAGAGGAAAGAAGGAAGCUUCAACUUCAGACCUUUAUGUAGACAAUAUAGAAUGCACUUUUAAUCUGUGUUGAUGUAGUAAGAAGAGCUGGAUGAAGGAUGAUGAUGAAUGGUUCCCAUAAUGAUCAGCCACACCCUCAGAUUCUUAUGAAUCUCUUUAUUCUUGGAUGUUUUUCCUUCUGGGUUUUGAGAGAAAAUGGUAGGGAUAACUUCCUGGGACAUUUAGCCCUAGGGUUUAUGUUAUAGAUUCUUCUUCCCCAAACCUCUUCUAUGUUCAGGAGCGCAACUAUUGAUUUCUCAGUGAUCACCAUUUUUAUUCCCAGAACAUGAGACAUAAUGUAGUGAUCAUCGUAAUCAGCGAAUUUCCAGAAUUCCUUGACCAAGUUUGUGUAGAUGGGGCCAUAAAGUCGGUUAAAUUAAGUAAGCCACCCUUGAUUCUUCAGUUCUCGUGUUAAAUCCAUUCUAUUUUCUUCGAGGUUGUCAAAAUCUACCAACAACUCACAAAGAACUUCAAGCUUUUCAAAGAGAGUUGAAAGAUUGAUGUGAGCAGGACGAUCAAGAACAUGAGGUUCUUGAUAGGAGGUUGUUGAAGGAGCAACAGUAGGGGUUGCAACUUGUUGUGAAGCUUCAACUUGUUGUUCAGUGGUAUUCAUCUGUUAAGAGAAUUCAAAGACCUGUUGUUAUUGAGGAUUCAUGAUAUUAUUGUGAAGGAGAUAAAGAUCGGUUGUAGAGAAGUUGAUUUUAUGGGUUUGUGUAAGUUGUGAGUAGUAAAAGUGUGAAUGUGGGAAUCGUGGAAGUAUAUAUACACACAUUAAAAAUAUGCAAAACGACAGCGUUAGCUGAGAGGGAACAUAAAAAUUAAUUAUUUGCUAAAAACCGAGUUUUGACAAGCGUGGGAAGAAUUAAAUGCAACUAAUGAUGGGGGUCUAAUCUCAAGAUUUGCACACUGCUCGAGGGGAUCUCAACAGUUUGGCCCUUGAGUUUUGAGCUAGACAAGUGUCUAGAAGAUCUAGAGUCACACGUUUGAGGGACCAUGUUUUGAUGUUUCUGAAGUCAAGAAUACCAAAAGGUUUUUGACUAAGGAGGUUUCUGAUAAAUAUAUCUUCUAACAUGUAGAAGUGUCAGACUCAGGAUUAGAUAAACAUCAUAAACUUGAGUCAGAGUCUAAUUUAACAUCUGAGUUGAGAAGCACAUGUUCAGAUUCAUUGUGGGUAAUCUGCCAUGUUUAAAAUUUUCAGAAUGAAAAGAAAUUUAUCUUCAACUAAGGUUUUUGUAAAAAUAUUAACACAUUGAUGGUCUGUAUCUAUAAAUUUUAAAAUAAUCAUCCCUUUCUGAACAUAGUCUCUGAUAAAAUGGUGUUUAAUUUCUAUGUGCUUCGCUCUAGAAUGUAAAAUUGGAUUCUUACUUAAGCAUAUAGCAACAACAUUAUCACAAAAGAUAUGGAUGUUACUCUCAUAAAUAUGAAAGUCCUCAAGCUGAUUCUUCAUCUAGAGCAUUUGAAAGCUGCAUAGUGAAGCUGAAACGUAACCUGCUUCUGUAGUUGACAAUGCAAUCGUUGAUUGUCUUUUGCAUGCCCAUGAGAUGAGGUUUCCUCCCAAAAACUGACAGCUACCAUAUGUGCUUUUGCGUUCCAACCUAUCUCCAAUGUAAUCUACAUCAUAGUAUCUAAAAAGCCUGUACUUUGAUGUUUUCUUAUACAUCAAGCCAAGGUUAGGUGUUCCUUUCAGAUACCUAAGGAUUCUCUUAACAACAGUUAAGUGAGUUUCCCUUGGAUCUGACUGAAAUCUAACACAUAGACAUACACUGGAUAAUAUAUCUGGACACGAAGUAGUCAGAUAAAGGAGAAAACCUAUCAUACUACGAUCGAGUUUUUGACAAACCUUUUGAUGUACCUCUUCCUUCUCCAGAAUGCAAGUAGGAUGCAUGUGAGUCUUGGCUGGCUUGCUUUUUGACAUGUCAAAUUUCUUCAAAAGAUCUUUUAUGUAUUUGCUUUGAUAGACAUACGUAGCUUCUGAUGUUUGCUUGAUUUGAAUGCCCAGAAAGAACUUUAGUUCUUGCAUUAGGCUCAUCUCAAAUGCUGCCUGCAUUAACUCAGAAAAUUCUUGGCAAAUAGAGGGGUUAGUAGAACCAAAUAUUAUAUCAUCAACAUAAAUCUGACAAAUCAUAGGAUCAUUUUUGAUGUUUUUGCAUAAGAGAGUGAAGUCCAUUUUGCCUCUGAUAAAAUCAUUUUCCAGAAGAAAUGAGCUAAUCUUUCAUACCAAGCUCUGGGAGUUUGUUUCAGACCAUAAAAAUAUUUCUUAAGUUUGAAAACAUGUUCUAGAAGUUUUGAAUUUUCAAAGCCAAGAGGUUGAUGGACAUACACUACUUCAGAAAUGUAACUAUUUAGAAACACACUUUUGACGUCCAUCUGAUAUAGUUUAAUGGAAUAAUUUACAGCAAAGGAUACAGUGAGGCGAAUAGAUUUUAACCUUGCGACUGGAGCAAAGGUUUCAUUGUAGUCAAUUCCUUCUUGUUGACUAUAACCUUGUGCCACCAUCCGUGCUUUGUUUGUGAUGACUUCACCCUUUUCAUUUAGCUUAUUUUUGUAUACCCAUUUAGUUUCAAUCACAUGGGUUCCCUUGGGUCUUAGUACAAUAUCCUAAACGUCAUUCUUGGAAAACUGAUCAAGUUCUUCUUUCAUUUCCAAAAUCCAUUCUUUAUCUUGAAGAGCUUAUUCACAUGAUGUUGGCUUUAUCAAAGAUACUAGUCCCAAAAGUGUUUCUUCAGAGACUUUGAAUGUUGGUCUUGUUCUGACAGGUUCAUCCUUGUUUCCCAGAAUUAGUUCUUUAGAGACAUUCUGCCUAUUUCUUUGUCUUUUCUUAUUGAUUGUGAUUUCAGGUGCUUCUGAAGUUCCUUUUUCUGCUUCUUCAGAACCAAUUGCCUUUUCUUCAGGACCUGCAAGUGUGAUCUCCAGAUCUGUAAAUUUCUCAACUAGCUUUGACUUUUCAGAAUCAAGUUUGUCAUUAAAUUUGACAUGAAUUGAUUCUUCCAUAAUUUGUGUUUCUCUAUUGUAUACUCGAUAUCCUUUAGAACAUUCUGAUUAUCCCGACAUAAUACACUUUUGUGCCUUAGAGUCAAACUUAUUCAGAUUGUCUUUAGUGUUCAAAAUAAAAUAAGAGCAUCCAAAAGGAUGAAAGUAAUCAAUGUUGGGUUUUCUUCCCUUGCACAGUUCAUAAGGAGUCUUCUCCAGAAUAUGUCUGAUAGAGAUUCUAUUAUGAAUGUAACAUGCUGUAUUCACAACUUUUACCCAGAAGUGCUUAACCACAUUAGUCUCAUUGGUCAUGGUUCUGGCCAUUUUUUUGGAGAGUCAUAUUCUUCCUUUCUACAAAUCCAUUUUAUUGUAGAGUUCUAGGACAUGAGAAAUCAUGGGAUAUUCCAUUAGAGUCAAAAAGUUCUUCAAAAAUUCGCCACCAUGAUCACUUCUGACUCUGAUUAUCUUAGAGUCAAAUUCAUUUUUCACUUUUGAACAGAAACUGGUGAACACAGAAUGUGACUCAUUCUUGUGCCUUAAGAAUUUCACCCAUGUCCAACAACUAUAAUCAUCAACAAUGACUAGUCCAUACUUCUUACCAUUGAAUGACACUGUCUUAACAGGUCCAAAAAGAUUAAUCUGUAGAAGUUACAGAGGUUUAGAGGUGGAAACAACAUUUUUGGUUUUGAAAGUGGUUUUAGAAAAAUUCCCCUUGUGACAUGCUUCACAAAUAGCAUCUGAAGAAAACUUCAUAUUAGGUAGGCCUCUGACGAACUCUAGUUUGUUUAGCUGAGAAAUCCUCCUCAAGCUAAUGUGACCGAACCGUCUAUGCCACACCCAUUUCUCUUCAUUAACAGACAUUAAGCAUUUUACAUUUUGGUUUUUCAAUUCUGAAAAUUUUAUUUUAUAAAUGUUGUUUUUCCUCUUUCCAAUGAAAAGGACUUUGCCAUUUUUCUGAUUAACUGCUUUGCACGUUUUUUUAUUAAAGAUAAUAUCAUAACCGUUAUCACUUAAUUGACUUAUGGAUAACAAAUUAUGCAUUAAUCCAUCAAUAUAAAGAACAUCAAAAAUAGAGGGAAGAGACCUGUUACCAACUGUUUCAGAUCCUCUGAUUCUUCCUUUAUGAUUUCCUCCAAAGCCUACAAAAUCAACAUCUUUAAGUUCCAGGUUUUGGAACAUAUGCUUUCUUCACGUCAUGUGUCGCGAGCAUCCAGAGUUAAGGUACCAUGACUGGUGUUUUUAACUCCACUGCAUAGGAUAUAUCCAACAUACACUAUUUUAUCUUUUGGUACCCAGAAUCUUUUGGGUCCUUUAGGAUUAGUUCUUCCAGAGCUUCUGAAAAUUUUGGGCUUCCUAGCGUUACUAAACUUUUGUGUCUCUGCAGGUGUAUAAUGAUAAGAAAAAGGAUAUUUUGACUUGUUUUCUAUAGAAGAUUUCAUAUCAUCUUCACCAGAGUCAUAACCAAUUCCUCUUUUUCUAUUAUGACUUACACCAUAUAUCAUAGAAGCCAUUUUGCUUCUUUCUAGACCAUUGUUCAAAAAUUUCUGAAAAGCUUUUUCAUAUUUGUAUAUGAUAGUGUUAGAAGUUGGUGGAGCUUUAGAAGGAGUUUCUUCAAGUUAUGAACAUUUCUUGGUUGAAAAUUCGUUUUCUCUUUCAAGGAUAAAAUUAUUUUCUUUUAGUUCAGAAACUUUUUUCUCAAGCUUACCACACUCUUCAACAGUCUCUUCAUGAACCCUUUUUAGGUUCUUGAAUUUCUGUCGAAGCUUCUAAUACAAACUCAGAGAUUCUGAUAGACAAGCUUCCAGAUCAAAACGAGAAAAGUCAGAGAAUACCUCUUUAGAGUCAGACUCUGUUUCAGAUGAACUUCCAGAGGUAGUGGCCAUGAAUACUACGUUCGCUUGUUCCUCUUCUGAAUCAGGUUUUGAAGCUUCAGAUUCAGAGUUAUCCCAUGUUACCAUGAGUCAUUUCUUCUUUACUUUGAAUGAGUUCUUCUUGAAGUUUUCCUUUUUGGAGCUAUCCUUCUUUAGCUUUGGACAUUCAUUUCUGUAGUGCCCAGGCUCUUUGCAUUCAUAACACGUUACUUCCUUGUUGGGUAUGCCUCUAGAGGUUGAAUAUGAACGUUCUCCCUUAUGUCUGAGUCUUCUGAAGUUGUUUUGUCUUUUUCUCCAGAGCUGUUUGAUUCUUCUGGAAAGAAGAGAUAAUUCCUCUUCAUCAUCAGAAUCUUCAUUCUCAGAGUCAUCAUCUUUUUCCUCUUCAGUUUGAAAGGCUUUGUUCCUUUCUGGCUUUCUUCUUUCUGAUAUAGACUUUAGAGCAACAUAUUUGAUUUUAUUCUGAGGUUCAUCUUCUUCUAGCUCUAUUUCAUGACUUAUGAGGGAGUUGAUAAGUUCUUCAAGACUUAUGUUAUUCAGAUCCUUGGAUAACUUCAGAGCAGUAACCAUAGGUAUCCACUUCUUGGGAAGACUUCUGAUUAUCUUCUUAACGUGAUCUAUUGUAGUAUAUCCUUUGUCCAGAACCUUGAGUCAUGCAACUAAGGUUUGGAACCUUGAGAGCAUCACUUUAACAACUUCACCAUCUUCCAUUCUGAAGGCUUCACACUUCUGGAUUAAGGCCAAAUCCUUAGUCUCUUUAGUUUAAUUAUUGCCUUUGUGCGUCAUUUUCAAGGAUUCAAAGAUAUCUUUGGUUGUUUCCUUAUUGGUUAUCUUCUCGUGGUCGUUGUAGGAGAUAUCGUUUAACAUAAUGGUUCUUGCUUUAUGGUGAUUCUUGAAAUAGGAAUAUCAAGUUCAGAGUUGAGUAUCUCAUAACCAUUUGUAACCAUAUCCCAGAGAUCAACAUUGUAGCCUAGGAAGAAACUUUCAAUUUUGUCCUUCCAGUAGUCAAAUUUUUCUCCACCAAAAACUGGAGGUUUUGCAUUGUAGCUAUCUCUUUCAUUUGUGUUAGCCACGAAGUUUUUCUCACCUUGGGUCUCUCUACAUGGUUAAGUGUUUGAUUCAAAAAUAAGUAACUGAGCCGAAGCUCUAAUACCAAUUGAAGGUAGAGAAAAACAAAAAAUGGGGGGUUUGAAUUAUUUUCACAGUAGUUAAAAACUUUUGCAGCACCACACACACAAAAUAAAUGCUAACAACACAAAGAAUUUAUUCUGGUUCGCUUGAAAUUCAAAGUUACUCCAGUCCACCCGACCAAGGUGAUUUCGCCUUCAAUAAAGACUUAAUCCACUAAUCUCAACAAAUUACAAAAAUACGUCUAAGAGUUUAGCAAUCUCUUAUCCCUCUCAAGUCUACAGACUUAAACAAAUCACUUGAGGAGUUACAACUAAUUUCAAGAAUUACAAGUGUUUGACUCAAUGCUUCUAGAUAAGCAGUAUAAACACACUUUGAGAACAAUGAAACACAACCACAUAAUUUGAGCAACAACUCUUGUAUGGUCAGAUAGCAUGUUGAACGUGUAUCAGAGUACACAUGAUCAGAGUCUUUGAGCUAGAGUCUAGGUAUUUCUUGCAGUCUUUAGAUAUUCUCUUGCAGAGUCUUCAAAUAUUUUCUUGCAGAGUCUUUAGAUAUUACUUGCAGUCUUCAGAUGUCAGAGUUGAACUACAAUGUCAGAUUCUUCAGGUAAUUACUCCUCAGAUACAUUAUGUUUGGAGUCAGAUCUGAUUUCUCUGUGUUGGUUUAGCUUUUCUGGACUGGUGUGGAUGUCACAUAUUUGUUUCUUCAGAGUCAUUUUAACUUAGAAUCCUAAACACUUAAGAAAAAUUAUAGGGUACCAAAUUGUCUCAUUCUUUGUUAUCAUCAAAACUUAGAGAUAUGUUGCAGAAACAAAAUAUUGUUCUAACAAGAUUCUCUAGCAACCAGUGAGGUAGACGAAUUCUUGCGCAUCAUAAAGAAAAGUGAUUAUCGAGUGGUUGAACAACUCAACCAAACUCCAUCCAAUAUCUCUAUGUUGUCUCUUCUUAUAUGCUCCAAUGCACACUGUGAUUCCUUGGUCAAAUUUUUAAAAGCUGCCCACGUGCCGUAAGAAAUCUCCGUAUGCCAAUUCGAAGGAGUAGUUAACAAUAUAGAUACCAGUCUAAGCUUAGGAUUUAGUGACGAGGAGCUCCGCGUCGAGGGAAGAAAUCAUAAAAAAGCUCUUCGCAUCUCUAUUGAGUGCAUGGACACAGUUCUGUCAAGAGUCUUGGUGGACAUUAAUUCCUCUUUCAAUGUGAUACCCAUGAGUUCUCUUGCUAAGUUGACCAUUGAAGGACUCGUAAUGAAGCUGAGUGAGCUAAUAGUAAGGGAAUUUGAUGGAUCAAGGAGGAUUGUGAUAGGAAAAGUAUAUCUUCCUAUGAAGAUUGGCCCCCCAUACUUUCUUCAUUACUUUCUUUGUGAUGGACAUCCAUCCAGCUUAUAGUUGCCAACUUAGAAGACCAUGGAUUCAUUCAGCCAAAGUCGUUACUUCAAUGCUCCAUCAAAGGUUGAAAGUUUUUGUGAGCAACAAAUUGGUGGUCAUGGAAGGUGAAGAGUAUAUCAUGGUGAUUCAUCUCGCGUCAUUCUGAUACGUCGAAGGAGAAGGAGAAAUGAAAGAAAUUCCAUUUCAGUAGUUUGAAAUUAUCAAUGUCGAAAUGGGUUGCCCUAUAAGGGAUGAAUUGAAAAAUGUUGAAUUUCCAAUGGCCUCCCUCAAAAUUCCUUGACUAUCAUAAGGAAUGGACACCCUAAAGGAUGGGGAAGAAUGCUUGAGUUGCUUAACAAUAAAGACCGCUUUGGAUUGGGAUACAAUUCCCAAAACUUGAAAAAGCCAACGCCAAUAGCUGAGAAGGGAAAAAUUAUCCCAUUAUCAGAAUACUUCUCAAGUGUCUGGCACCUUGUCGACGACCAUAUCUGUGUCUCAGAAGAAGAUGUUGAAGAAGAAGAAGGAUUGGUAUUCAAGAAGACCGAAGGAAGAGGUGCCACCAAAUGGACCGUGUUGGAAGUACCUGAAGUGACAAUGAUCAAGAAUUAAUCUCCUUUGUUUGUUUUCCCUUUUUAUCAAUAAAAAGAACCCAUGUUAUGCCCAAGGAGUGGGGGAAUCAUUUGUAGGGCCUCCAUGAAACUUCCCUUUUUUUUUAUCAAAUUAAUGAAAAAAAUCCACGUUUCGCAUUCAAUUUUGUGAUCUUUAUCUUUCAUUUAUUUAUUCACUUUUCAAAAUUGGCAAUAUUUUUUCUUGUUCUUAAAUUUCUUUUUCAAAUCAUUUUUCCUCUUUUCUUAACAAUAAAAGCAUGAAUCCUAAAUCGUGCAGAUCACCCUUGGUUACCACCAAUAACAAUGUUGCUAUAGUCUCAUAUGACUUCGAUAACCCAAUUAAUCACGUCGACAAGGACUACGGUGAAGAUUGCGAGCUCCCUAAAGAGUUAGCACGACUACUCAAGAAAGAGUCUAAGGUCAUACAACCGCACGAUGAAUCAGUGGAAACGAUCAACUUUGGAACAAACGAGAAGCUAAGAAAGUCAGAGUAGGCUCGACUCUACAAGCUCUUGAAACAUUACAUGGAUGUGUUCACAUGGUCAUACCAAGACAUGCCCGGUCUCUAUAUUGAUAUCGUGGUCCAUCAUCUACCUCUUAGAGAGGAGUGCACUUCUGUGAAGCAAAAGCUAUGAAAGAGGAAGUGUAAAAACAGCUCAAUGUUGAUUUUUAGCAGUCUCUAACUACCCUAAAUGGAUUGCCAAUAUCGUGCAUGUGCCCAAGAAGCACGGUAGAGUAAGAAUGUGUGUGGAUUAUAGAGAUCUUAAUAGAGAAAGUCCCAAAGACGACUUCCCAUUACCCCACAUCAAUGUGCUAGUGGACAACACCGCUCAAUUCUCUAUUUUCUCCUUUAUGGAUGGUUUCUCUACUUACAACCAGAUCCGAAUGGCUCAAGAAGAUAUGGAGAAGACUACUUUCAUAACCCCAUGGGGCACCUUCUGUUACAAGGUCAUGCCUUUCAGAUUAAAGAAUGUUGGCGUAACAUACCAAUGAGUCAUGGUCACACUCUUUUAUGAUAUGAUUCAUAGAGAGAUCGAGGUCUACGUUGAUGACAUGAUCAUCAAAUCCCAAACUGAAGAGAAACAUCUUGUCAUUCUAGAAAAGUUAUUCGAGAGGCUAAGGAAGUUAAAAUUAAGGCUUAAUCCCAACAAGUGAACGUUUGGGGUAAGAUCUGGCAAACUGCUAGGUUUUAUUGUCAGCCAACAUGGCAUUGAGGUAGAUCUCGAGAAGGUGAAGGCCAUACAAGUUAUGCCUGCACCCAAAACCUAGAAGAAAGUAUGAGGAUUCUUAGGUAGAUUGAACUACAUUGCUAUGUUCAUAUCUCACCUAACGACCACUUAUGAGCCAAUAUUCAAAUUACUCCGAAAGGAUCAAGCUAUCAUUUGUAAUGACGAUUGCCAAAAUGCUUUUGAGAGGAUAAAGGAGUAUUUGCAAGAACCUCCUAUUUUUAUGCCUAAUGUACCUGGAAGACCUCUGGUCAUGUACCUUACCGUUCUUGAAGGAUCUAUGGGAUGCAUCCUAGGCCAACAUGUUGAAACUGGUAGGAAAGAACACACAAUAUACUACUUAAGCAAGAAGUUCACCAAAUGGGAGAGUAGAUAUUUAAUGCUUGAGAAAACCUAUUAUGCACUAGCUUGGGCUGCCAAUCGCUUAAGGCAGUACAUGCUACUCAUACAACGCUGCUAAUCUCCCAGAUGAACCCAGUCAAAUACAUCUUCGAGAAAGCUGCUCUAACCGGUAGAGUAGCCCGUUGGAAAAUGGAUUUGACCGAGUACGACAUCUAAUAUAUCACUCAAAAGUCCAUCAAAGGGAGUGUAUUGUCUGACUAUUUGGCACAUCAACCCUUAGAAGACUACCAGUCUAUGCGCUUCGAAUUCCCCGACAAGGACAUAAUGCUAAUCAGAGACUACAACAUCCAUGUUCCCGAGGAAGGACCAGAGCCUGGAUCUUGAUGGACCUUGGUAUUUGAUGGAGCUUCUAACGCUCAUGGCAAUGGCAUUAGGGAAGUCAUCACCUCCCUUACACUAUGAGGUUGUGUUUCAAAUAUACAAACAAUAUGGCAGAAUACGAGGCUUGUAUCUUCGGUAUUGAAGCUGCAAUUGAUCUUAGGAUCAAAAUUAUUGAAGUAUGUAGAGAUUAAGCCUUGGUUAUUAGACAAGUCAAAGGAGAUUGAGACACUAAAGGUCACAAGCUCAUCCCUUACAAGAAGCAUGUCUUGAAAUUAAUCUCAUACUUUGACAAAAUUACAUUCAAUCACAUCCCUCGAGAGGAGAAUCAGCUAGCCGACGCAUUGACAACUUUGUCAUCCAUGUUUAAGGUCAAAUGGAAGAACGAAACACCAACUUUUCACCUUGACUACUUGGACGAGCCUGCCCACUAUUUGGUAGUAGAAGUUGGAGUUGACGUUCAUCCUUGGUUCUAUAACAUAAUGAGAUUCUUAGAGAGCCGAGAAUACCAUGAUGAUGCAUCCAUCACGGACCAGAAGUAUCUUCGGAAGCUAUCAUCCAAAUUCUUCUUAAGUGGAGGGGUAAUAUACAAGAGAAAUUAUGAUUCGGUCUUGCUAAGAUGUGUGAACAAGCAAGAAGCAAACCAGAUUAUAAUGGAAACCCGUGUGGGAUCUUUUGGGAUACGUGCUAGUGAACACACCAUGGUAAAGAAAAUUUUGAGGACCGACUAUUAUUGGAUGACUAUGGAGGUUGACUGUUAUCGCCAUGUCCAAACAUGCCAAAAAUGCUAUAUCUACUCCGACAAGAUCCAUGUACCACUAAAUAUCCUAAUGUUACCUUGGCCUUUUGCCAUAUGGGGCAUUGAUGUGAUCGAACGCAUGGAGCUAACUGCCUUAAAUGGACACCGCUUCAUCGUUGUAGCCAUUGACUAUUUCAUAAAAUGGGUGGAAGUUGUCUCAUAUGCCAACGUCACAAGACAAGUAGUGGCUCGAUUCAUAAGAAAGGAAAUUGUUUGCCGUUAUAGGGUCCCCAACAAGAUCAUCACUAAUAAUGGAUAUAACCUCAAUAACAAAAUGAUGAAAGAGCUUUGCCAAAUAUUCAAAAUUGAACAUCAUAACUCAUCACCUUAUAGGCCCAAGAUGAAUGUUGUUGUCGAUGCAGCUGACAAAAACAUCAAGAAGAUCAUGCAGAAAAUGGUGGAAACCUACAAAGAUUGGUACGAAAUGCUCCCGUUCGCAUUACAUGGCUAUUGUACCUUAAUAUGUACCUCCACUAGGGCAACCCCAUUCUCUCUUGUGUAUGGCAUGGAUGCAGUCUUGCCUGUUGAAGUAGAGAUUCCUUCUCUAAGGAUUCUGAUUGAUGCCAAGCUUGACGAAGUUGAGUGGGUACAAGCCCGGUUCGACCAACUAAACCUCAUCGAUGAGAAGCGCUUGGCAACCAUCUGCCACGCCUAGCUUUACCAAAAGCGCAUCAAAAUGGCCUAUGACAAAAAGCUAUUUCCUCGCAACCUCAAGGUCGGAGACCUCAUGCUAAAGAAGAUUUUUCCCAUUCAUACUGACCCAAGGGGAAAAUGGACACCAAACUACGAAGGUUCAUAUGUUGUAAGAAAGGUCUUCUCUUGAGGAGCCUUAAUCCUUUCAACUACGGAUGGUGAAGAUCUUCCAUCCUCCGUGAACGCGGAUGCAGUCAAAAAAUACUACGUUUAAGAAUAAAUAAAAAAGAAAAAAAGAAAAGGAAAGAGCCCGAUAAAUUGAAAACCCAAAAUGGCGACUUAUGCAUAAAUGGAUAUCCCAGUAGACUGAAAACUCGAAAGGAAGGUCUAGGCAAAAACUAGGGACUUAACAAAAUUGAGGGGCCGCAUCCUGCAAAUAAUCCUUCUUCAUUCCUCAGCAAGUCGAUCCAGUUGCUCCCCAGUGAGUCAAUUCAUUCACUCUUCUUCUAAAGCAAGAUCAAAGGACAAUCAAGAACAUAAUGACUAUAGCAGAGUUAGAACUUGGUGGAAAUCCGAGAUAUUUCUAUUGCCAUUAUAGUUUUUCAAUUUCUUUUUGCAAUCACCUCUUUUAGGAAUUUCCUCUUUAUACAAAUUACCCGUUUUUGGGACCAUUUAUCAAUAAAAUCAGUUCCCCCAUAUGUGCUCAAUAUUUUUACUUUUUCUGCUUUGUUUGCGAAAUGUGACCUUUUCUCAAAUUGAUAUCGCAGAGGAUUUUUUUUGGUAAAAACAAAUUUUUCAAAAAAAAACUUUAAGGGAAAACUUUGGUAAAAACAAAACUUGAAAGUAUCUACAGGUAACCAAAAACACGUUUGGUAUCCCCAGCCUGAAAAUACAGUGUAGUCCCUUGGAUUUGGCCAAUUAAAAAUUCCUCGACAGUAAUCCUCAGCUAUUGCACUUAAUGCCUGCUUGGGCAUCAGAAAUUUCGGUUUUCCAUUAUCGGGAAGUUAGUACACUCUCCCUAAACAACUCUAAGCCCAACCAUACUUGGCAUAACUAACAAACCUCGCAUUUGCACAUUCCCUUGCAGAAAUCCAAACAUGCAUCGGUAUCCUGCAUACAUAACAUUGCAUCAUAAGUAUCUUCAGAAAAAUUCAUCCCUCAGUUUAUACUCAAGUUGAUUCACCAGAAUUCAGAAUUUCCCAAACCGUUGUUGAGAGUUUUCCCCAGUAUAGUCAUCUUUCAUCCCUAAUAUUUCCCCAAACAUACUCAGGUAUUUCUAGUCGUUGCUAGGAAUCGUCACUGAACUGUUGCAUUCCCUCUCAACUAGUUUCCCCAGAAGAGUUAGGUACUCUUAGUUGUUGCUAGGAAUCAUCACUGAAAUUCUUAUCCCCCCGCUGAGUCAGGUAUUCUAGUGGUUGCUAAGAAUCGUCGUUGUAUUUCUUCAAUCACCUGAGAGUCAUUUCAUUUUCAAUCCUCCUCAGACAAAGUCAGAUAUUCCAGUCGUUGCUUGGAAUCGUCAUUGAACUGUUUUGAUUCUCUCCAAAUGUCUGGUAUUCCAGUCGUUGCUAGGAAUCAUCGUUGAACCUCUAUAUUUUCCUCAACAGAGUCAAGUGUUCUAGCCGUUGCUAAGAAUCGCCACUGUACCUUCUUGAGAAAUUUAUCCCCAAUCGAGUCUUGUAUUCCAGCCUUCGCUAGGAAUCGUCACUAAAUGAUUAUUUUCCCCACAAAGUCUGAUAUUCUAGCUGUCUCUAAGAAUCGUCAUCGUACCUUGUUUUUCACUAAUUGAUUGAUUUGUCAAUUUUCAUCUAUAUUCUAUUUUGUGAUUCUGAUUAAGUGUUGACUAAGUUUUGUCCAAAAAUCAUACAUAUUUUGUAUGUAAAGUAUUCGUUGUGUAAGUGUUGACUAAGUUCUGGUUAAGAUGAAGUGAUAUGCCUAAUUAUAAUGUAUAUUUAUUAAGUGAUGUAUGAAUAUAUGAAAUACAUAAUGAUAAUGUAUAAAUGAUGGAUAAGAUGUUGUGAAGUUGAGGUGUAAAAGUGUUUUUUGUUUUCCCAUAGAUGAUGAAAUAGUGGUGGUUAUGACCUGCAUUGAAUAUGGUACUCCUAAAGAGUAACAUACAUCAACAAGGGGAAGGACAAGACGUCAUGGGUUUUGACGUGGAUAUUAUUUUGUCACCAUACAUGUAGGGUAUGAUAAACAUAAUUUUAUGUUAGAAAAGUAGCCAACUUAUAGGGUUGAUAAGGUGCAUUUUCAAAUAGAGAUAAGUACCAUACAAGAUGUGGCACAAUAUCACUAGAGAGAAAUGACCAUAUGAUGCAGUAUCUCUUGAGAGAAGCACACUCAAAAUUGAAUUAUGGAAUGUAAUACAAUAUCACUUUGAGAAAAGUAUUACACAAGUAAAGUAUUAUAACUCAAUUCGUGUUGAAUACUUUCUUUUAUCAACAAAAUUGGGUUAAAAAGGAUUGAUUUGAUGUACAUCCCUUUUAUCCCAAAGUGUUCAGACACAAGUCAUAUCAGUUGUUUGUUUUAACACUUGUUUCCCUCCUAAAAACAAUUACAACCAAUCAAACAAUGUUUCUCCGCUCUAAAGCGAUCCAAAAUUUUUUUUCUUUAAAAUCAACUAACAUACAAUAUUUUAAUAGGCCAUACUUCGUGUUUUAUGAUUAGGAGAAAAUCAAAAUAAUAAGGUUAACAACAUUAUUUUGCAAAAUUAUCUAGAGGAAAUUGUUUUCUUAAAUGAAUGUCGUAGGAUGUUAAUACAUCCCCUACAUAUAAUCGAAUCAUAAACCUAAAUUUGGUUAUGAAGACCAUAUUUAUGUUCUUUAAGGGUCUUAUAAAUGUUUUCACUUUUUAAAUAAACUUUGGUGACGACUUCAUUAUUUUUCGAGGAUAUCUCGAAUAUUUUUACAUCGCAACAACCAGAAGGUUUAGUUCUAGAAUCACCUAACAUGACACCACGUGCCACCACAAAUACAAGAAGAAGUCCUGGAGUGAAUCACUGUUCAACAUACUUUUAUACUUUUAUUUUAAGCCAAAUAUUGAUUUAAGCUAUUUUAUAACCUCAUUACAUAAUAUACAAUAUACUUUGUUUUUAGAUAAUGAAUUAUAUUUCUUAAUUCAAUUUGUAAAUCAAAGCGUUUAAUAUAUAACUAUCUUUGUAGGAUUGAUACUUUUCUUAUCACUUGAUAUUAGUUUCAUUGUGUAUACUUGCAUAAGUUAUUCUAACCAACAUGGCACAAGAAACUUGGAUAAGAAACAACGUGUUAUUGAUUCAAUGCAUGUAAUUUCAUCUAAUGACAUAAAAUAAAGCUUCAUGUUUCAAGGAAUAUUGAGCAAUAAACCACAUGAUUUUCGGUCUAAUGCUAAUUCAAAGUUUGUUCUAUUUGUGGCAUCGACAUUUAAAAGCAACCCUAAUGUUGUAUGAUUUUUGUUUUUGGAAUGCUAUGAAGUUAUAUUAAUACAUUAACUAAAUUUUCAUAUAGACAAAUAUCAUUUAAUACUCAGAACAUUGUAAUAGACACAAUAAACUCCACUACCAUAAGAUUGUCAAGGCAAUGUAGUAAUGAAGUGUAUCAAAUAUCUCUAAAUAUGCCAAGAAUGUCAUAAUCUAAUGUUAUAGGAUUGUUUCAAAAAAUGAUAUAAAUGUAAAUGUGGAGCCUAAUCAUGACGUCAAUUAUAUGCAACUUAGGAUAGAUAAUAUUCAACAAAGACCCUUGCAAUAUAGAAAUGCGAAGGUUCUAAAUAGAAAUAAUGCACAAGUUCAUAAUCUUGAUUUAAAUAGAUAAAAACAUAAUUUGGCUUAUUGAGUUAAAAAUGAGAGUAGUAUAAAUUGUGCUAACAAAAAUCAUAAGAAAUGAGUAAUUUUUAAAUUGUCUCCAUAUUAUUUGUUUUAGUUCCUAAAUAACCGAGGGAAUUAUAGUUUAGUCCAAACAAACAAACGACAUAAAGUAAAUAGGGGGUACACGUAACAUAAUUAAUUGUUUAGGUGAACUAUAGUGAAACCACGAAACAAACUAAAAUUUAUAAAAUAUAAGGAGAUAAGUGAUUAGGAUCCCAUUGGAAUCAUUUGUAUAUCUUUGUAUGGUUAAUCUCUGCUUGAAUCCAUAAUGAUCCCUUAAAUAUCAUGAUUAUUUUAAUAAUAUCUUGGUACAAUAUCUUCUUCAUUAUAUUAUAAUCUCUCAAUGUCUUGGGAAAAGUUGCAGGUGAGGUGAGGAAGGUUUGAAUGGACGUUAAAAUACCUAUGGCACAACUAAGUAUAUCAUGUGUCUCGCAUUAGAAAUAGUAUCUCAAUAAUAUUGGAUCCAAUCUCAUUAUUUGCAGCCAGUUCUUAACACAAUUUCAUAUUAGUUGACUAAUUCGUAAAUGAACAUAAAAUAUUAAAUAUAAAUAACUAAUUAAUAAUAAAAUAGGUUGAUAGUUACAAUGAAUAACUAAGUGGAUCACAUGGUUCACACAAAUAUAGAGAAAAUUGAUCAAAAUGAGCCUAAUGAAAUAAGACUAACCAAUCAUUUAUAGGAAAUUCAUGGCAAAAUGGAUGAAAAGAAAGAAAAAUAACUUCAAAAGGUAAAAAAGGAAGAAUAUAUGGAUGAUUUCUCCUCUUCUCCACACUCCAAACUCUCAAAAUAUGUCUCUUGUGUGAUAAAAUUCAAAACCCUUUCAACAUAACGAGUUUGAGUAUUUAUAGAAAAAUUCUGAUCCCCGUAAGAUACGUCACACUACCUUGUAUAUGCAAUGCAUUUUUGUAAUUGUAUACACAUGUGUCAUCCUCUUGAUCUCACAACAUGCUGAGUAACCGUAAAAGGUGUGACACAUUUCAUAUAUUAUGGUGAUGCGUCAAAGGUGAGAUCAGCAUAACGACUUGUGUUGCCCUAAAGGUUGCAACGAGUUUUUUCUAAAUAGUUGUAAAGACUUUUAUCUUCAUAGAAUUUUUCCAAUUUGUUCAUUUUGUUUUCUAUUUUAUUAUAAUUUUGUGUCUAGGUCUUUUUCGCUCGUGUUACUAUAACUUCUAUAGUCACUAUGACAAAUAACACUUUUUAUAAUGAAGCUUUCACCUCGAACAUGCCAAAAAUCAAGUGUAUAGGUCAUGGGAGCGAUAUGUUUGACUUUUUGUUAUAAAAAAACAACAUUUGCCUCAGUUUUAUAAAAAUAGAGGUAAUAUAACUAUAAGUGAACGCUAGAUUUUCCCCAUAAAAAAUUUAUUACCUCGGCAUUUUUUAAAAUCGGAGGAAUAUAGCUAUAAGGGAACACACUUUGAAUCCCUGUACCUGCAUUUAAGGGUUUUUUCAAUGAUUUCUCACUUGGCGCCUUCCAAUCUUCCCUUUUUUUCUUAGUUAAUGUUUUUUUCUUGUUAAUUAGUAGUUCUCAAUUUUUUGUUAUCAAUCAAAAUAAAUAGGCAAUAAUAUGAAAGGAAAUAUUUCAUUAAUUAAAAACAGGACAACAAAUAACUAUUCCACAUAUUCAAAAUUCCAACUCUACUCAACUUCAAUAGUACCACUAUUAACUAUCUUCAACUGAGAGAAAAGUUCAGAAAUAAUUCUUCCAUAUGGUAUGAGAAAAGUCAUUUCCUCCAUAAAGAUGAUUACCAUUUUCUUUAAGAAGUUAAAAAUGGUAAAAUGAAGAUUAACUCUGAUGCUCUUGGUAAGGAAUAACAAGAGAUGUUUGUCAUCACAAGUAAGCGUUUCUAGUUGUUUCAUUCAUAGACGAAGAUUUGACACUAGAAGUUGAUAUAAAACUUUUUUAAUUGAUAGUAGAAUAACAUGAAUGUUGUUGUAUUUAGAAGCUUGAAAAAAAGUUCUCUAUGAUGAAUUACAAGUGUGGAAAACAUUUUUUCAAUAGUAGAAUAAAUAAUUCCUUUAGAAGUUGGAUGCAUUUAAUGAUUGGAACAGAUAUCUCCUAUAAAUUGGAUGCAUGCAAUAUUUUGAACACAUAAUUUCUUACACCAAAAAUCUUUUUUUGUUGUAUUAUUAUUUUUCAAUAUUCUUUGUAAACAAUAUAAUUUUUUUAUAAAAAAUCAUGUUCACCUUGAUUUUUAACAAAACCGAGGGAAUAAUUUAGCGUGCUAAUUUUAGAUAUUGAUCACCGUUCUUAAAUAAAUCUUUGUUAUCCAUUUCAUAAUUAUCAACAUUCAAGACACUAUCAUUAGUGGUCCGCGUGAAACCUAAAAAAUUCUCAUUAUAAAAGUCUUAUGAUAUCUAUAAUUGAUAAAGAAACGUCAUGAAGCGCUUGAAACUAUCUACAUCCUCCACUUUAACUUUUGUCGUUAACAAUUCUUUAUGAUGGAUUGCAAGUGCAGAAAAUUAUUUAGGUUCAAGGUUUGUGUUUUUAAAUAUUCAUUUGAGUAGAAAAUCAUUUAUUUUUAUAUUUUCUUUUGUUUUAUAUCAGAAACAAAUAAAAGCAAGGUGAAACAUUUGAUCUUGCCCAAAUAUUAAGGAAUCGAAGAUUCAAUAUAUGAUCUUCAAGGAUAAAUUAAUUUUUAUUUUAAUAUUCUGUGUAAACAAUAUAAUAUUCUGGGUAUUGUAGUUUGUAAACAAAUUUUAUUUAUUUAUUUUAUGGGUAAACAAUGUAACAAAAUUCAAUUAAAAAAACAAUUUAUCUUACCCAUCGGUUUAAUUAUAAACUGAAAUGCAUGAGACAUUAGUUUUGUAAAUAAUAAAAAUACAGAAGUUGGGGUUCAAACUCAUGUGCAAAUUAAUUUAUCCCUCGGUGUUUAGAAAACCGAGGUGAUAAACCGUUACUUUUUAUGACGCCCUUCGUUAACUCGGUAUUACAGCCGAGGUAAAAUAUAUUUCACGUCCGACGUUAAAAACACUUUUUAUAUUAGUGAGUGAAAAUAUUAUACAAUUUAUUUAGUCAAGAUGAUUUUGGCACAAAUUACUCAUUUCACAGUUCUUCGUAAUCUUUAUUAAAAAAAUUCAAAAAUAUAAACGAUUAAACAUAAAAGCACUUAAAAAUAAAGAAAAAAUUAUUAAAAAAGAUGUAAUGAUUAUGUGUCAUCAUAACUCUUAAUCAACCAUAAGUCAAUAUCCAUGAAGUGUCGAGCAAGAACUUAACAUAUUUGGUUUGAACAACCAAAUGUGAUUUGUACCAUUACUAAAAUAAGUAAAAUUAACUAAAACUUUCAAGAAAAUGAAACUUUCUAAAUUUACCAAAUUUUAUAAUGAAAAUGAUGAAUUCUUUCUUAAGCACAUUUUUAAAUACACUAAAGAAUUAUGUAAAUUUCUUAAUGAGAAAUGAUUAUAGACAGGGUUCUUUCCCAUGUAUUUUAACAUAACUAAUACUUAUAGUUUUAACAUAACUAAAGCAAAUGAUUUUUUGAACAUUUUUUUAAAAGAUAAACAAUUGAAAUUAUUUAAAGAUCACACAUUAGUAAUGUCAAUAGACCCAAAAGAGCAUAAACAUUAUAAAUUUUAAAACAAGUUUGACUAUUUUACCAAUCAUUGUGAAUGUUUCAUAAACUUAAUCCAAAAGGCUAUCGUGGAUUGAUAAAUUGUGGAUUAAUCAACGAAUUCAAAAUACCUUCAAGGUACAAAUUCAACGUAAGAUUGAUAGGUGAUAUAUGAGAACUAAUGCUUAUCAAGGGAGGUUACUCUUUUAGAAUGGAUAUUAUACAUGUGGUAGAUCAAAACAAAUGAAUUUAAUUAACUCAACAAAGCUACCACAAUUAUCUAAAAGGAAAAAAAUUAGAAGAAAAUUCAUACUUAAUAAGAAAUAAUGAUGGAUGUAAAAAUCGGUAUUAAUUUUUACUUUAUCUUGUAACUUAUGUUUCAUAAGUCUCAAUACCAUUUAUUCUUUACAUAUAUGAAGGUCUAAAGAAUUUGAGAGUGCGUCAUUGACUAGUUAAGAAAGAAAAUAGUUUUUCUUUUUAAAUAAGCAAACUUUGAUUAAUUAAAAAAAACUAACAAAAAAAACAAGGCGAUUGCUCGGAUCCAACCCUCAACGAAACUAAUAACAAAAAACAAAGCUAAUAUAUCAUCAAAUUAGCAAUGUGUUUUCUAAUUUUCUCAUCAUACCAACCUCUAUACACAAUCAUGUCUAUAAUAUUUCCCGCUAUUUUGGUAUUAUCCAUAUUGUUUCCAAAUACCUUGUCAUCCAUAUACUUCCAAAUGUCAUAUAUAGCUUUAGUAGCAACCAACUUUAACAUAGCAACCCACCCCCAUUUUCCUUUACUAUGCUUCAAAAUCUAAUGCAUUUCUUCAUUCCAUUCCUCGUGCUCGUGAAUGAUUUGGAUCCAAUAAAGAAUCUUGCACCAAAAAUUCUUUUCAAUUCAACACACCCAAAAGACAGAUGAUUCACAGUCUCCUCCUUGUCACAAAAAUAGCACCGGGUGUUGUCCACCAUUCCAAACUUGUGAAGUUUUUCCCUGGUGACUAGUUUCCCAUGGAAAGCAGGCCACAAAUUCAUCAUAACUCUAGGUCGAGUAACAUUGUUGCAUAACAAAGUCCUCCGAACUAGUUUCCCAUGGAAAGCAGGCCACAAAUUCAUCAUAACUCUAGGUCGAGUAACAUUGUUGCAUAACAAAGUCCUCCGAGCCAUAUCUUGUUCAUCAUCUCUCAAUUUUGCAUACAUGGUCUUCAUGUGAAAUUUACUCUUAUUAAGCAUUUGAUCCCACAAAUUCUACACCUAUGUAAUGUUCUCCCUUUGGUGCAGGAUUACCUUCAUUAUCCAAGUGUUGUUAGGUCUAAUAUUCACCUUCAUCAUGCUAUUGUUUUUGAAAUAAUAUGUAUACACCUAUUUAACCCAUAAGUUGUCCGACUUACCACUAAGAUUCCAAAGCAACUUCAUCAUAACAAUUUUGUUAUAGGUUUCCUACUCAAUAACGUUUAGACCUCCUUGUUUCCUAGGCUUGCAAAUGUUCUUACAAGCAAUUGGGCUCUUUAUACCGAUAUCAUCUCCACCUGUCCACAAGAAGGACCUACAAACAACAUCAGUUCUCUUUAUCAAACUCUUGGGCAGAGGGAAACAUUGCAUCCAAUAGUUAGUAAUGACAAAAGAGAUAUUAUUGAUUAUCUAAACUUUUCUUACAUAACUCAAAAGCUUAGUGCUCUAGUGUUGAACCCUACAAACAAUCUUAUCCACAAGAAUCAUGUAGUGAUGUAUGGAAAGCUUCUUACAAGCCAGGGGGACGCCUAAAUACUUAAAUGGAAGAGGCCCUUCCAUAUAAGAAGUUAAUCGGAUAUUGCUCUCCUCAGUGUUAUCAUUAACUCCACCAAAAUAGAUUAUGCACUUGCUAGGAUUAACCUUCAAACCUGUAGACCAAGAUAAGCUCUUAAAAGCAUUCAAUAACAACUCAAUAAAUCAUUGAUUACCUCUUGAGAAAAGCAUCAGAUCAUUUGCAAAAGUCAGAUUUGUGAUAUGCAACUUUUCACACUUUGCAUAGUGGUUAAAGUCAUGGAUUUUUUGCAUCUUGUGAAGGCCUAUAUUCAAAUACUCCAUAUUAAUGACAAAAAAGUAAAGGGGAUAUGGGGUCCUCUUUUCUAACUCCUCUCCUAGCUUGCAUAUUUUUUAUGUACUCGUCAUUAAUGUUAAAUUUGUAUGAGACAGUGGUCACAGUAAGCAUUAUCUACCUCAUGAAUUGAUGGAUCAUACCAAUCUCUUGCACAAUGCACUCUAAAGCUCUAAAGUCAACCAUGCCAUAAGCCUUUUGUAAGUUAAGUUGGAGUAUACAUAUGGGGAUCCUCCUUCCUAGCAUAACCUUUAAUUAUCUCAUAUGCUAGGAGAAUUUGGUUUUGGAUCUGCUUCCCAGGAACAAAAGUAGCCUAACAUUGCCUAAUAAUGCUCCUAAGAACCAUGCCUAAUUGAGCUGUCAAAACCUUUGAUAUAAUCUUGUAGGUUAUGGUACAAACAUAUAUUUGUCUAUGGUCUUUAAUGUAUUUGGAAUCAUCACUCUUUGGGAUAAGAGUCACCACAAUGCAAUUGAAUGCCUUGUACAAUCUUUCUUUCCCAAAAAACUCCAUGAUAGUUGUUAUCACAUCAUCUUUUAUAGUGUUCCAAUUGGCUUUAAGAAAUCUGGAAUCAAAGCCAUCUAAACCAAAAGACUUAUGAUCAUUAAUAUCUAUCAAGGCCUUACAAAUUUCUAGUUUAGUGACAGGUCUAACAAGAUACUCCCUCUGCUCCAUAUUAAGUUGGGCUUCAUCUCUCAUGGCUUCUAUAUCAAUAUACUGUAAGUUGUUAACCCUCUUCCCCAUUAGCUUCCCAUAGUAAUCUAACACUUCAUUCUCAAUCUCUUCUUGAGUUGUCAUAUUGGUACCAUCUUCCAUAUAGAGAACCCUCAAACUCUUAGCAUUUUGAUUUGAUUUAAUUGAAGCAUGAAAGUAAGAAUUAUUUCCAUCCCUCAAUCUUAACCAAUCAAUCUUGGCCUUGUGUUUUAACAUAUCUUCUUCUAGCUCAUUCCAUCUUAUAACAUUCUCAGUACAUUUCUUUACUUCCUCAAUCCCAUGGUUAUUCAUUAUGACCAUAAUGAGAUCAAACCAAGCCUUCUCAGGGUCAAUUCUAGCUUUGGCAAUAUUCUGCUGCACAUGAGCAAGAGGUCUGAUAGCUUCUUUAAAAUAGGUUUAAGUAUUUUCAACUUACUCCAUAACACAUACAUAGGCAUGCCAACCAAGGGCUCCCUCUAACUUCUAGAAACAACUUCGUCAUACCUUUCCAAAUUAGCCACACAAUUGAAAAACUUAAAUUUAGUUUUCUUGAUUCUAUCAUGCUCCUGGUAUAUUAAGAAAAAAAGUAUGAUCAAAUACACUUGGAGGUAAGAUUUGUAGGGAUGUGUACAAAUGAGCUUGAAACCAGUCCACAUUCCCUAGGACCUUAUCAAAACUAGAGUAAAUAUUUCCCUAAAUGUGCUUAUUUGACCAAGUAUAGUAAUCUCAUAUACUAUCCAUCUCAAACAAACAAGUCAUUUCCAUCAUUUUGUGUAUAUCAUUAUAUUAAGCUUUUGUCACCAAAUUACCCCUAACUUUGUCCUGAGCCUUGAUCACAUUAUUAAAAUCUCCAAUUAAACACCAAGGUCCCUAUUUCUUCCCACAUAAACCCUCAAUGUCUCUCCACAUAAUUCUUCUUUGAUCUAACUUGUUAAUAGCAUAUAUCGCAGUUAGCCAAAAUUUGAAGUCACCAUUCUUGUCACAAACUCCAUAAUGAACCAUAUGACUAGUACUUUUCAUAUGCUUAACAUCAAUCUUAUUAUUAUUCCAUUCCACCAAAACUCUACCAUUAUCAUGGUGUUUAUAAUUGGCUAGGUAUAAUCCCUUAAGGUUUAGUUUAUUUCUAAUAUUCUUAGCUUUGUCAAACUUCACCCUAGUUUCAAGAAGAAUAUUAAUAUCAGGCCUAAGCUAUAGGAGACGGGAGCCAAUCUCCCUGAGCUAACCUAUUUUAUUUAUCCCCCACAUGUUCCAAGCAACAAUCAUGGACCAAUAUCUUGAGCCACUAGAGUAUCAUUCAAAAUCCAUAGGGAAGUAAAUUCGUUCUCACAUUGGACUAUAAUAGAUGAACCUUCAUAUAAUAUCCCUUUGCCUCGAUCUCUUCCACUUUUAUUAACCCUUAUCCAUUCUUGUUGCUUCUCUUCAGUAUGUAUACUAGCCUCCUUUGAACCUCCCUCAUCGGAUACAAGGUUUUUUUUUCUUCUGGUGGUUUAUGUAUAGGCCUCCAUUGCAUCUCUCUAGACUUUGUCAUACCACAUUGGUGUCCCAUCUUUUGACAUUUCCUGCAGAAUAACGACUUCCAUUUGUAUUCCACUACCUAUUUCAUCUUCUUCCCUUCGUUGUCCUUGAUGGUGAUAUCUUGCGAUAAUUCUUGGGUGAUAUCAACUUCAACCAACAUUCUUGCAUAAAAGACUUUUAGUUUAUUUGUCGUGCAUUCAUCUGUUACGAAGGGAUUCCUUAUGGCACUUCCAAUCUUAGUUAAGCUCUUGACCCCCAAAAGUAUAACGGGAGUUAAAGGAGUUUUAUCCAUAAGGGUAGGGUUCUCAACAUGUCUUUUUUCAAGUUGAAGUUUGACCUCAAUUCUCGCAGCAACAUAGGCAUGUUCCUGAUGGUGUAUGAGUCAUUCAUCAUCAUUGUAUCCUUGUCCUUGUACGAUUUGAAUUUGAGCAGAAAAUACCCUUCAUCAUAGUAGAACAUGUCUGGAAAUUAGGCAACGUUCCAUGUCUUAAUCAUGUAUUACUUCACUGUAUUCAUACUCAAAUCACCUCAAAGAACAUACAUUAUCAAGGUUGUGUCCCAUAAUGUUACCUCCGCUUCAAUGUCUUCUUCCUUGAUCUCACCAUUCACAACCUUUGGAGCUACGGAUUCCAUUAUCUUGCCUUUUGUCGAAUUCCAAUUAUCAUUAAGAACAUCCACCCAUAACUUCCUUAUCUCCUUUGGUACUUAUAUAAUUAGGGUUCUCGUUUCUUUAUCUUCCUCAGUCUCCUUGCUUCCACUAUUUUCACUUGAACUAACAUUGUUUUUGUGUUUGUUGAUUCCUCCGUCUCAUCUUGGUCUUGCAUUUCCGUUUGUGUUACUCGAUUUCCACAAUUUUCCGACGACUAUGGCACUAUUCUUUUCGGCCGCCCUUGUCCCUUUGUUAUCGCUCGUUCUGAAAGAAAAUAGUUGAACAUGUAAUAUGUGUUAAACACUUAAUAUAAAUUUGAGAAUUAAAUUUAAAACAACUUAAAGAUAAAAAGACAAGAUAUAUUAUUUAGUUGGCGAUAAAAUGAAGCAUUUAAAAAUAUUAAAAUGAUACUAUUCUUAAGAGCAUGUUUGAUUAAAAAUAAAUAAAAAAGAUAUAAUUUAAUGAUUAUCUGUUAUGACUCAAGUGAGUCUCUAAAAUUAAAAUCACAUAAAUUUUGUUGUAUGGAAAAAGGAGAUAAAUUUAUUUUAAAUAUAAAGUCAAUUAUUAAAAGAGGACCAUAAAGAAUAAAAUAAAAAAAAUUGGGAAAAAAACAAUGUUAGCUUUCCUCCAAAAUAAGGCCAUAUUUCUAUUAUUUGGCCUUAAAUAUUUUUUUAUUCAAUAAUAUCUGAAGUAUCACUAUUGUAAUAAAAAUUUAAUUUUAUAUUUUGUCUCCAUUAAAAUAUGUCACAUCAUUUAUCAAACAAAACAUUUUUACAAAAAUAAUAUCCUUUUCCUCCCUUCCUUUUCUUUUCACUAGAUUAAAAUCCUUUUCAUGGCUAGAAGAAAAUUAAAUAGAGUAAAUGUGAAUGAUUAUUUUAAACUUGAGUCGUGUGAUUCAAUUAUUUAAAGGGUAGAACGUAAAGAAAAUAAUCAAAUUUAUUUCAUAUUUUAAUAAAUAUCAUUUUAUUUCAUUUGAUCUUAAAUACGAUAAUUGUGUGAAAUAUAAUUAUACAUUUUUUCCAUUGAAAUCUCUCUUCCUCUUCCAUCAAUUUCAUUAUCUCAAUUAAAAUCUCUCUUCACCAAUUUACUAUUAUGAACAAAAUAAACUAUAAAACAAUAGAUAAAUUCAAAAUGAUAUUAUAAUAUAAGGUCAUAAGAAAAAUAGUAGGUAGUUUUUAAUAUAUUUGUUUUGUAUUACUAUUGUAAUCAUAAACGAGAGGAUUUUGUAGUAAUCUUUUGUAUUGAGUUAGAUUAUUCCUACUCUUCUUUGAUAUCAUUUACUUAUAAAGAAAUUGAACAAAAUAUUAUUUGAAUUUGAACUAAAAGUAAUAUAUAUAUAUAUAUAUAUNAUAAAUAAAUAUUUAAAACUCUAUUUAAUAAAUAAAUAUAUCACCACAAUUUUAAAAAAACUUAUUUGUUAUUUUGUUAUUUUCCCUUCAACUCACUCAAUCAAAAUAUUAAAAAGAGUAUUUAAUUAAAACAUUGAAAAAACUAAAGAUAAAAAAAAUGAUAUUUGAAAAUAAUAUAAAACAUUGAAAUGGUUCGCAAGUUCUAUUUCAAUUUAUAGAAACUGAUAUUAUUAAGUUAGAUAUCAGAGUUUAAAUUUAAUGUUUAUAAUUGUAUAAGAGUUUCUAAUAAUUAUUACUUCUUCAUUUAUGAAAAAAUAUCGAAAUGAAAUUAUUUUUAAAAGUAUAUUUGGUUUGAAGAAAAUAAAACAAAAAAGAAAAAUAUAUUUUGUAAUUUUAAUUUUAGAUGUUUAAUUUAAAAGAAAAUAGAAUAUGUAACUUAAAUUAUUGACCAUCGUGUAUUAUGCAAAAUGGGACGGAAAUUUUCAAAUAAAUGAUAUUACAUAGUUAAAUGAUGAAUUCUUAUAAAAUCUUAGUUUUGUUUAUUAAUGAUAACUUAGAUUAAACUCUCUCAAUUUGAAGAUACUAGAUUUUAUGUAUCUUAUUUUUUCUUAAUAAUAUCUUAACCAUAAAUUUAUGUUUCCCAAACUUGUAAUUAACUUUUGUAAUCUUUCAUCAUGACUUGGAGUAUUCUUACCUUAUAAAGAGAUCAUAUAAAAUAUAAAAGAAAAUUGAGAUUUUCUUUAAAUAAUCAAUUUUUUCAAAUUAAAUAUUAAAAUUAAUUAUCAAACUAACCACUUUCUAAAUAAAAAAAAUUACACGACAAGAGCAAUAGUCCGGACAAAUGGCACAUGCGUUGUCCUUUUGCACUAAGGCGCCAAUGGUGGUGGCGAAAACAUUUACUACAUGUCACUGCAAGUGACGCAUGCAUACAUCCAAUAGAAGCAUGCGCAACAUGCAAGAGCUACUCCUCUAUUUGCAACUUCUAUUUAUACAACAUCCUUUCUCCAUCAUUUUCACACAUCUUAUUACUAUCCCAUUCCAUUUUUUUUCAAAAUCUCUGCAUAUAUGUGUCCUUAUAUUCACAAGAGAAAUGCCGAUUUAAUUUAUUCGGUAGUAAAACCUCUAAUGAAGAUCCGACUCUGAAAUACAGAGACGUUCAAACAUCUUAACUGAGCUUUAUUUGUUGGUUACAUAGAGACGUCGCAGAGGGUGAAAAUAUUAGAAGAAUUAAAAGGUUUGUUACCACGUUCAAUCAAAAUUGAGAAGUUCGUUUCUGGGACAAUGUUAAAACUGCCAGAGAUGUCCACAUGAUGAUGUAUAAUUCUCAGGAAAUUAUCCUGAUGGUUGUAAUCACAUAGUAAUGUUGUUAAGUCGUUGUACUUGUUUGUUUUGUUGUUUAAAUUAUUGUUUAGUUGUUGUUUUUAAAUUAUUGUAACCAAAUGUUAUGAUAUUUAUGAAAUGAAAGUUGUUUUUAAUAUAAAGCAAAAUGGUUACGUUUAAAAUUAUGUUUUUGUGUUUGGUCCAACAUUGGGACAGUUUGUACGAUUGCAUCCGGGUUGGUGACAUGAACUACAUAAUCUCACCAUUUUGUUCGCCGUAUCCAUUUUGGUUCGAAUAUGCAUGCUAUUAGGGCGGUCCUUUUUCUUUCUUCGCAUUUUUUCAUUGUGUCAGACUAUCUCCCUUUGAUAUGCAUGCCAAUAAUCCUCUUUUUCUAUCACCAACAAGUUAUUGUUGUAAAUAUUGCAUAGGUUUAUGACUUUGUAAACGACAGAUAGUAAGUUGGAAGGGUCAUGUCAAACCUUUGAACAUGUCACUAUGACAUGGGAGCAAGGCAUACAAAAGACUUGGAACUUUCUGCAGUUGCACCAACCUUUAUCUAGUUCCAUUCAACAGUAUCCCCUCAGUCUACCUUCAUUAUGAUCCAUUGACUCAACAACAAUGAAUCAACCCUUUAGUACAUUCAAACACUUUGACCACGUGUGUGUUAGCUUUGUUGGCUUCCUCCUUAAUGAAUUUCAUUGAACCAUCAUUCAACAGCUGCCCCGAUUGUGACACUGAACUCCAUUUAGAAUGUCUGAUCUUAAACAGUGUCCCUAACCUAAAAUAGGUUGCUCUAACUACAGAGAUUAUUGGUAGGUUUCAUAUGCCUUUGAAGACAAGGUUCAUUGAUUCCACGAGAUUUAUUGUCAUGUGGCUCCAUCGUUGACCAUUGUCAUAUGCUCUAUUCCACUUCUCCAAUGGAAUAUUGUCGAUCCACCUUACUGCAUAUGCAUUUGUCAAUCUGAUGUCUUCACGCUAGUGUUUGAAGGAAGGUUCUAUUAAUGCAUACCAUGCGUUCACAACCUUCUUCUGCAACUUCUUGUCUUUGAUCUCCCGCAUAAAAUUUUGAGCGAUGUGUCUAAUGCGGUAGACAUGCAUUGAAGGAGGAUCCUGCCAGCUGUUAUCAAGGUUUUUAUAGGCACUCUCAAUUAAUGGAUGUCUGUCUAAAAUCAAACAUAAGUUAGACUGAGGAGCAACAUGUAAUCAAAUAUUUUUUAAGAAAAAAACUCCAUCCACCAGCAGUGUCCCCUUCAACCAGAGCAAAAGAUAUUGUAAAAAUGUUGUUGUUGCCAUCUUGUGCCAUACAUAAUGGCACAUGCUUUAAAAGUACAACAUAUGCACCAUACCCAAUGGCAAAUACUUUGGAUAUCACAUGCAAAAAAGAAUCAUGUGAAUGUGUCAUUCACAUCUAUAAAUAUUGAUGUGUUUCUCAGCAUUUCCAUCAAACACACUCAAUCCAUCUACCUUGUAUGCAACAUACACUCAAUAUACCCACUUUGUCAGCAACAAAUACUCAAAAGCAUUCAAUAAAAAUGUCUCUACUAACCAUGGGUGAUGAACAUCGAGGAACUAUCGACAAUAUUACAGAGUUUGUAAGUUACUAUUUCUUAAUACUAUAGCUUAUUUAAUUUUCUUAAUAAUAUAGUUUAUUACUUUUUCUUACAUAUUUCCUUAAUAAUCUUUUGUUAGGAACCAAAGAAGUUUUGAUGCUGUGUACAUGAAUAUCUACCAUACAAUCCAUUGAUAGAACCAUACUUACGAGUAAGCGGUUUUGGUAAUGUACUUAAUAUAGUCUCAUACUCUAUUGAUUACAAAUUUAUUCUUGCUUUAGUAGAAAGAUGAAGACUCGAGACCCACACAUUUCACCUUUCAUUCGGUGAACGUACCGUCACACUAGAGGACAUCUACAUGUUGUUGGGUCUACAUAUCGAUGGUAAAAUUGUUAAUGGUAGAGUUAACCAAGAUAACUCUAUAUGCGAAUAAUUGUUGGGUGCCCCUUUGUGUGAAGACACAACUACAAGAUAAAUUUCGGGUCAACCUAGGGGUCAAUGUAUUAAUUUAAAAUAUCUUAAACAAUAUUAUUCAAGUAUAACAUUAAACGAAGAAUCGACUGAUUAUGAAAAGAUAAUUAAAGCUCGGUGUUAUAUUAUGAUUUUAUUUGGUAAUUUUUUAUUUCCUGGAAGUACUGAUAAUACGGCAAAUAUUAUGUAUUUGUCGUUGUUACGAAACAUAAAUAAAGUAGAAAUAUAUAGUUAGGGUUCCGUUUUUUUAUCCCAUCUAUAUAGUUCAUUGUGUAAAAAUGCAAAAAAGAAUACUUAUACGUUUUAUUCUUGCGUCUUUUUGCUACAAGCACGAGGUUGGUCAAUAAUUCCAUCACUUGCCCCGAUUAACGAGAAGUCAUUCGCAACAAAGUAAAUUUAUCUUAAAUCUUCAAAUUUGUUAAGCUUUAUACUACAACUAAAUAUAACUAAUAUAUUUUCAAUCUUUUCGUUUUAGGUGGUUAGCUCUGGGGAUGAACUACAAUAGGUGUCCCAAACACGCUAUAAUAGUCUAUCACAAUCUUUUAGAUCACCUUGGACCAGACGAUGUAUUACAACUAAACAACUCUAAAUUUGAUUUUAAAAAUUACCAAAUUACAAAUCUUCUAAUCAUGUAUUUUUCUCAUACAGUUUAUAAGGAGUCUGUAUCUGGGCCUUAACCAUCAGGUUAACCCUGAUGAUGCUGCAGUUUGGAUAACGAAAACAUUAAUCAUCAGGUUCACUACUGUGGAGAUGCACUAGAGUGACCAUGUGAAACUGCAGUUCGGCAUGCAACAACAGAUUCCAGAUCCUCCAACGUGUUUGGGAGAUUGACAUCAACAAAAAGUCAAUGUCCAAUAGGGUUAUUCCAAUUGGAGAGAAUUCGUUAAAGAGAUGUGUUGUCAUUGGAAGAAUCGACAUCGAUACAACUUAAAUGAACUGAUCAUAUAAGGUGCUAGACUAACUCAACAUCAUAUGGAUUGGUUUAGGUCAGUUACAAUGACAUUGUUUGUGCCCGAGUCGAGGUAUUUCAUUGAUCCACGCCAACAAGCUUCAUCGUCGUACACCAAAUAACAAACCCCCGCCCAAUAACUAACCCCGCACCAUUAUCAAAUCCAAAAACAAUGUCAACUCACCCAAACCCAACGACCAACCUCACAGCGCCACCAUACCAUAUACACUCUGUCAUACCCCAAUUUUGUCAGGGUAUUUUAAAUUCAUCGGAUACAUGUCCAUUUGUCAAGUUUUGUAUUUUUAGCCAUAUGCAUUUUUAUCAUCAAAUAAAGUCAUCAUAACCAUGCAUAUAUGCAUUAUAGUAAAAAAGUCAACAUAAAGUCAAUAUUUUACAAGUUAAAUAAAUUGACUAAAAUUGCAUUUUUCCAUUAUGCAUUUUAAAAAAUAAAUUCAUGAUCAUUUGAUUUACCAUCAAAAUAUCUAUUUGAAUUUUAUUAAUCAUUUUCAUGCAUCAUAAAACAAAAAUCAAUGUUUCUAGAAGGUCCAAAUCAUCUCUCAUUUAUUACAUCAUUAUUCCAUGUAUAUAUUACAUCAUUAUUCAAUGCAUAUAUUAUAUCAUUAUUCACUAUUUAAUUAAAUAAAUUUGUACAAGGCACUCACACUCUUUGCAUAAUUUCUAAAUUGUCCUUUCUAGAGCCUAUAAAUAAAUCAUAUUUCAUUCACAAAUUAAGCAAAACCUCUCUUCAUUUUUCUAAAGUAAUUUCUUUCUUUCUUUAUUGAAUUUUAUUUUUGGUAAGCUCUUAUGCUUGACAUUUAUUUAAUUCCAUUGCAUUUUUAUUCUUACUUCAUUUAUUUAGUACCUUAAUUAUCACCAUUUUGCAUGGAAACUCCAUUAAUUUAAAAUCAAGAGUUUAAAAUGUUUUUGAACCUCCAUGGACAAAAGUGAUUAAAUAUGAAUUAAUUUUUGUUUAUUUAAUUUUCUUUGUAUUAUUAUUAUUGCUUCACUUAAUUAGUACCUUAAUCAUCACAAUUUUGCAUAGAAACUCCACUGAUUCAAAAUUAAGAGUUUAAAGUGUUCUUGAAUUUUCAUAAACAAAAGUGAUUAACUUUGAUUUAAUUUUCGUUUAUUUAAUUUUCUUUGCAUUAUUAUUCCUGUUGCACUUAAUUAGUACAUUAAUCCCUACUAUUUUGUAUGGAAACUACAUUAAUUCAAAAUCAAGAGUUUAAAGUGUUCUUGAACAUCCAUGAACAAAAAUGAUCAAAUGCAAAUUUAUGUUUGUUUUACAUAAAUAAUAUAUCCAAUAACUUCUCAACAUCAUCCCGAACAUGAAUCCAUAGUUCGUUUGUCAUGAUGAUGGAUAAAAUUGUCAAAUCAAGCAAAUAUAUGCUGCUGGGUUUUUGUUAAUUUUUGAAUUUUUUGUUGUUUAUUUGCUGAUUUUUGAUACACCAUUGUGUUCGUGAAAUCGAGUAGCUAAAUUUACAUUAUUUAUUUGCUUAAAUCCAUGAAAAUAUAAGAAAGUUAUAAUGUUUUUACGUUUUGGUUGUAACAUUUUUUUUCUAUUUUUGUUGUUAUGAGAAUAAUAAUCAAAUGUGGGAUUGGUGAAUGUAACACCCCAAUUAAACUAAGCUAAUUAUUUAAUUUAAAUUAAUAUUUUAUUUAUUAAUUUAAUCGAAUAAUUGGGAGUUUGGAUUAUUAUUAUUAUUUUGAAAUAAUAAUUAUUGGGUUAUUAUAGAGCAUGACAGGAUAAUUUGAUGAUUUUUGUGAAAUGAUUGUGUGACACCCUUCGGGGCAUAAUUACUCUGAUUAAUAUGUUAAUAUUUUUAAUCAAAUAAUUUGGGGUAUUAAGAGGGGUGUUACAGUGAACACAAAACCUCUCCACAUCCCUUGAUUAUUCAACACACUUAUGUGGGGUUUCUCCUUUAAACCUAGAGCAUUUUUCUUACUAUACCCUCAAUUUUUAGUCUCUUUUUGUCUUUUGUGUUUUAUUUAUUUAUUAUUUUCUUAUUAUUGUUUUAUUUAUUUAUUUUUGUUCUUUCUUUUAUUUCCUUUAGUUUUUUUAGUUCUUUUACCUUUUGUAUUGAUAUUAUGAUUUCCCUUUUAUUAUUUCUUUUACUUUUUUUUAUUACUUUAUUUUUUAGUUUAUUUUAUUGUAUUUUUAGUUGAUGCAUAAUUGUUAAUCCAAAAAGACAAAAUGACCAUUAAAAUUAAACUUUCAAAAAUACUAAAAUAAAAGGUGUUUGAUCAACAUCAAGUACAUUUUUCAAAAGCAUACUAAGUCUUUUUCUUUAAUAAGCGCCUCAUAUCAUUUCAAACCAUUUCAUAAAUCAUUUUUACUAACGCGAUAAACACGCAAUCAACAUCAAGUUGCAUGUCCGCUUACUCUAAGCGAUUAAAUACUUUUCUUAAUUAAACUUCGAAUGAAAAAGGGAAUGGGAGACGUUCGCCUCACCACCCCUCGAAUGAUUGAACGAUUGACGCUUGUCAUAUUACUCGAAUUUCCGUCUUCCGAUUAAAACACUCUAAAUAAACUUGGAUAAAGGAAUAAGUGACACACACCUCAUUAUUCCUCGAAUAAGCAAGUGGGAGGUGCUCGCCUCACUACCGCGAAUAGUCGACUUCCACAAACAAUUUUCAAAUACCAAAUUGGACAAAAAAGGAACGGGGACACUCACCCUCACUAUUCCUUGAAUAAGUGAAUAAUUGACGCGCACCAUAUUGCUCAAACUUUCGUCAAUCCCCCUAAAAAACAUACAAACACAUUAACUUAAUUUCUCGCCUCUGUGGGAUCAACACCUUCUUUUUGAAAAGAACAUUGUUAAAUCAUUUCUAAUGCAUAUACAAACUAGCGCUUAAGUCUCCCUCUACGAGCAUGCAAGCCCAUGUUUAACCGUUAGAAUUCGAUCUAAGAACUUAUUCAUUAAAACAAACUUCAAACAAUCAAACCUAUCUUUUUCUCGCCCCCGUCCGAUAAAAAUCCUUUUCACAAAUGGACAUUGUUUAGUCCUUUCUAAUGCGUACACAAACUAGCGCUUAAGUCUCUCAUGCGCGAGCAUACAAUUAAAUAUUUAAACUGCUAGAAUGCGACCAAACGAGAUCCCUUCUACUGCAAAAGAAACAAACACUAAGUCCCCCCAUCCGUGAGCAAACAAGUUAAUGUUUAAACUGUUACAAUGCGACCUAAAUAUUUGUCCUCUAAAAUCAAUCAAUCAACACUCUUUUGCUACCCCGAACUACGAAGCUUUGAGUUCCUCAUUGUACUCGAGGAUACGUAGGAGCAAGACUCACAAUUUUGUCAAACAUUAUAAUAAAAAUAUUUUUGCGACCCCUUUUAUUUUACACUUUCAAUAACUCGAAGAAAAUAAUUAACAUAAGCCAACAUUCAAUCGCGAAUUUAACUAAAAGGUUCACGUUGAGUACAACAGACGUGAGUGGUGCUAAUACCUUCCCCUUGUGUAAUCUACUCCCGAAUUCGAAUUUGUUUGUGACAGUCAUUUUCCUUUUUUUAAGGUUUUAUCAAUAUUUUCCUAUUCCUUCAUUAAAAUAAAUAAAGUUCAGUGGUGACUCUGUUCGAAUCAUUUUUUCUGUGACUUCGCGAAGGAUCAUAUUUUUUGAGAUGCGACACACCCAACCUCCAAACACUCAACUUUGCAACCAAUAGAUGCCACACACCCAAACAAAAUACCAAGAGUAUGACCCAUGACACCAAUAACCACAUGCUCCCACCACAUAUUACUAUAGCCUCAAUGAUUCAUUUGAUUCCAUAAUAUCCCACCAUAGCCCCCCACCAAUGAACACCCAAACAUCCCACCACCAAAGCAUCCAACCACAAUAUGACUUUGUUACACCACAAGAAUCAUUGCUUCGUUUCUAAAACGAUUUAAUGUCAUGAUUCAACCAACCAUAUCGUCCACUCAUAACCCAACCACAACGACCCAACUACGACAACAUAACCACCAAACUAAAUUACGGCAGUACCGUUGACGGUAACCCUCAACUAUUGAGAAGAAAUGAUGACAAAUAUGUCAAAUACUCCAGGACCCUCACAUCAACCACCUUUUCCUCAACCAACAUUCAAAGACCCUAAACACCUCAAAGAAAUCGUGAGAGACCUCGAAGACAGACUAAUGCACCAGGAUGUGGAACCUGAGGAUGUUUCAAUCGGGCGAAUCAUUUUAUGUAUUUGAAUUUUAUAAGGUAAUAUCAUGGAUUAUUUUUAAUUUUCUUCUUUAUUUCAAAUUUUUUAAAUUAUAAUUAAAAAAAGUUAAAAAAUAAAUAAAGGAGUAACCACAUGCAAUGACACAUGCUCCUAAUGGAUGCAUGCAUGCGCCACUUAAAGUGAUAUGUUUUCAAUGCUGUCACCAUCAUCAUCGGUGCCUUAGUGUAUAAGAAUAAUCUAUCUGUCAUUUCUCCUGACUAUUUUUUUUGAAAAAUAGUUAUUUUGAUAAAUAAUUUAAAAAUAUAAUUGUUUUAGUGUUUAAUUUAAAAAUAGUAGUUAUUUUAAAAAAAAUUCAAAAAUUGAUGUAAAUACGUGUGAUUAAAUUUUAUUGACUGAACAUAAAAAAAAUCUAUUUAUUGAAUUUAGCGAAUGAAUAUAAAGUUUAAUUGAAAUACACUGACAGUGUAAAAUGAUUUUACAUCGUCAGUUAAUAAUAGAGGUUGAAUAUUAAAAUAAAUUUAAUUUUUAUUUUAAAAAUCUAUAAAGUAAUACAAACAAGAAAAAUGAUGAUGAUGAAUUGAUAGAGUAAAACUUUAUAACUUAAAGACAAUAGUAAUUACUCUCAUGAAUAUUUCGUCCCAUAUAAAAAACGAUGAUAUUUGUCAUUUUUGUUAUUUUUCCCUCAACUCACAAACCGUUAAAAAAAUAAUAAAAUAAUUGAAAAGAGAAAUAAUCAUGAUAUAUUUAUAAAUUCAUUAGUUAAUUUGUAGCAUUUCUGAAAUUAUUAGAUCGAAGAAGCUCCUUCCGACAAAGAAAGGUUCGCAUCAUAUUCACAAAUUUCUACUCUUUUUCUUUCUUUUCGUUUUUCUCUCAUCCAGAUCUAUAAAUUAUCAUGAAUUUGAGAAAUCAUCGUUAAUAAAAAUCCUGCUAGUGAUUUUUAUAAUUUCAUAGGUUAUUCUCUUGGAACCCUAAAUUCUGGGUUGUAUAUAGGUUAUGGAAUUGAAAUUCCAGAUGAAUUUGAUAAAAUUGUUUAGUUUUUUUUUAUAGUUUUUUUUUAUUUUUUAUAAUUUUUUUUAGAUGCAAUUGAUUUCAUUUGUGUUAUUUUGGAGGAUAUGCUGUGUUGAAACCCUAUUUUAUCGGUUGUUUUAAGUAAUUAUUUUCAAUUUCUAUAUGUAUCUUAUUUUCUUAGGGUUCAUAGAUACAAAAACUAAUUAGUUAACAUGUUAAUCAUGAUUUUACCAUGGUUUUGCAGUUUGUGAAACAUGUUGGUUGUAAUAUUUGAAGCAUUGACACCUUUGAAAAAUGUGUGACCGUGACCGAAAUCGAUAGUGACGGUUGUAAUUACGUUUAAUUUAUUGGUAUUUUCAAAUUAUUACCGGUGUCAACGUGUUAGUGUCGGUGUUGUGUUUUCGGUGUCCAUGCCUCAUAGGUCCUAAUAUUGUAUAAUAGGAACAAAAGUUAAGUAGUUAACGUGCUUAAUGCGCCAAUCGUGAUUUUAUUUUUAUGGUUUUGAAAUUGCUAAAACAUGGUUGUUACUUGUUAUGAUACUGUAUAAUGUUUACCUUGCUUAUUUUUUCAUUAUUGCUUAAUGUAGAUAUCCUCGAUGGUUAAAACCUUAAAAUCCAGGAAAUUAUUGGCUUGUUAAGGUUGUUAGUGAAACACUUUUUCCAUAUUUGUUAAAUACUCCUGCAGGUCUAACUUACUAAUAUUCUUUAUAGAAAAAAGUGUGUGUGUACUAUGUAUCUAUGUGCAUAUGUAUAUGUGUAUGAUUAAUGAGAGAAACACACACUAAAUUUUUGGACUCAAAUGUUGUUGCAGAAAAUGGAAUAUUGCAUGCUUCUGAUUUUCUAUUUCUUUUCAUCUCCUGAUAUGAUAGGUUCUAAUUGGUCAAAAACAUGUCUCAUCGCCAAGGAGGUGAUGCUGAAUAUUUUGCGGAUGAAUAUGAAAUGGAUGAUGUAGAAGAGGAUAUCGAUAUAGAUGGUGAAUCUAUUAAUAGAGAGGGAGGUGACGUUGACUCCGACGUUGAUGAAUAUGAUUACUCGGUUCGUAAUAUGCCGUUUCCUAAAUUUUUACAUUUUUUACUGUUAUGGAUAUGUUGUACACGAUGAUGUUUUAUUGUACAAUAACCCAUUUUCCAUUUAUGGGGGCGUCGACUUACUCUCCUAGUUAAAUAAAUAAUUCAUCAAGCAAAUGUAAAUUAUUGUAUCUUUCUACGAGUAACAUUAUUGUUAUGAUGGCAGAGUAGUAAAGCGGUAGACACUACAGCUGCUCAAGCUAGAAGAGGACAAGACAUCCAGGGGAUUCCGUGGGAUAGCCUUAGCAUCACCAGAGAAAGGUAUCGGCAAACGAGGCUUGAGCAAUACAAGAAUUAUGAAAAUAUCCCCCAAUCAGGGGAAAGGUCAGGGAAGGUAACAAUUUGAUGCAUUUUCUCUUUGAUAUUUCAGAGAAAAAACUUCAUAUAUGUCACCGGCCAUAACUAUGGCCAAUAUAAACCAUAGUCACAGAAUUCGCCACAGUACACAGAACUGCGGAUUGGUCCUCGAGUACCUGUUCCCGGUAUUUCUUUUUUGCGAUUUGGUUCACGCAAUUUCAUGAGAAAUUUGCAGGAAUCCGUGUACCAGAGAGGCAAAACCAUCUCUGGUUUAAUUGAGCAUUAUAAUACUAAGUAAAAUAAAAACCGGCUAAAGAAACCGUUGUUUAAAUACUGCACUGGCAAUGGGAAAUACUCAUCGCAUUAAAAAAGGGAGAUAUCACUGGCCUUCACAUGCGCCGCACCUUGCUGUACACUGGAGCGUUGGUCUAUACACUGUUUAUAUUUAGUUUACCUCUAUGUUUUCCAAGCUUCCGAUGUGGGACUAUAGUGCUAUCUCCUAAUGUCGGACUACUCCUAUAGCCCUAUCUCUCUAUGUUUGACAAGCCACAUACUUGGGUGCAUAUCCUCUAUUGGUGACUAUUGGACUAUCCUUUUUAAGGUGACUUUUGUUGGAAUCUGAUUUUUUAAACAAAUGUUAAUUACUCUUCUUGAUAAUAGAUGCUUAGAUCAUAGAUACUCAAAUAAUUAUUUUGACAAUAGGGAAUUAGUUCCUAAAAUGAAAUUGCAUUUUUUUUAAUACUAAAAAAUGCUACCGGUCUAUUAUAUUAUAAAUCACACAACUAUAUAACAUCUUAGUGCUCAGUUUUUUAACAAUAUAAAUUGUUUUUUGACGAUUUUAAUGAUAUUAAUUUAAUUUGAAUUACAAAAGAUGUAAUCUACAUAAAUGGUAAACUAAAAAUAUUUCUAAAACUUCCAUUUUCUUGAAAAUGCGAACUAUCAAUUUUUCAUUACUAUUAAAAUGUAUUUAUGGAUAGUUUGAGAUUCUUUUGUUUUUAUCAUUUUUCGUGUUGUUUUUAAAUUAGAUAUUUUUAAUUCACAGUGUACCGAUUAGUAUAUUAAAACAUAUUACAAACCGAAAUAGUGCACUGACUAUGUAUACCAUGUACCUAAUACUUUGAGGGUUGUGUACCACAUACCCAAAACCGUAACACGUACUGCAGAAAAUUGUGAACCAGGCGACUAUGAUAUAAAUAACACCAUGCUUACCUGUUCAUUAUUGUCUAUUACAAACAGGAUUGUAACAGUACAGACAAAGGAUACUCAUUUUAUGAGUUCAGGAGAAAUUCAAGAUCAGUAAAAUCAACAAUUCUUCAUUUUCAGGUAAGCUGUAGCCUGUAUCUACUCUGGUUUUUAUAAUGGAUUAAGGAUGCUCUAGGACAUUUUACUGCACAAUGGCUCUGUUUAACUGUUUUUUAUAAAUUAAAAGUUAGAUCAGCUUAUUACAAUAUGAAAUAUAUUAAACCAAUGGUCCAAACUUUAAGUCAAGUCUGAAAAGUGUUGGUACUUCAAUGCACCGUGUAUUGAAAUUGAUAGCAAGAGUAAAGGGAGAAGGAAGAGACUCUACAUCACUCUAUACCGAACGGCCACAUGAUAAAAUGCUCAUAAUCAUUGAAUAGGUUCAAAAAAUUAAAAAUAUGCAGGUAUCCAAUACCUGCAAUAUUUAUCUGGUGGCCAGUUUAAAAUACUCAGUUGCUGGUUUGAAUCAGUAUGUGGUAAGCAACUAAAUUUGGUAGAGAGAGCUCUGAGGUUUUCACAGCUGGAACAUGUGAUUUAUUAUAUAUUAUGUCAAAUUUUGUAGUCUGUUCAUAGGAUGCGAAGCUUGAGCAGUACCUUGGAUGCAAUAGGCUUCGAAGAGAUGUGAUCUCAUGUGGUUUGACUGAUAUUCCCUCCUUUUUUUUAUACUUAUGCAGUUGAGGAAUUUGGUUUGGGCUACAUCAAAGCAUGAUGUAUACCUUAUGUCUCAGUUCUCAGUAACACAUUGGUCUUCUUUGACUUGCACAAGGUCUGAAGUACUCAAUGUUUCAGGACAUGUUGCACCAUCAGAGGUGAAUAGUCCUUUAAAUAAUGUUUUUAAUUGGAUAGCCCUCUAAACCAUGUUGCACCGUCAUGUAGCACAAGGUCUAAAGAAUGGUUUGACUUCUGAUUGUUCAUUGCAUUAAUUUUGAGAAAAUAAUUGUCAAUCAUGUUUGUAAUCUUCCAUGUUAUCAUUUUUCCUUGUCAGAAACAUCCUGGAAGUCUAUUGGAAGGAUUCACACACACUCAAGUUAGUACACUUGCAGUAAAAGAUAAUCUUCUAGUUGCUGGAGGAUUUCAGGGUGAACUUAUUUGCAAGGUAAAUGUUAAUUUGCUUGUUAUUGAGGAAUACGAUUUUUUUAAAUCUGUUGCGAAUAGAGCAGUAAGUAUAAUUUGUAAUCCUGGACAUCCACAUUCUGAUCAUUCCGUGAAACGUUUAAACAAAAUUUAAAGAAUGCAAUGCACUGCUUUCGUAAGUUCAUACGCAACAUGCACAAGCAGACAUGUGAUUUAUAUGUGGUGAUGAAUAACUUUUUUAGGUAACAUUGUAAAGACUUAAAUAUAUUUUUUGUCUAUGUAAAAGAGACUGUUUUGGAAAGAUCUGCCCAAUUUUCUCAUUUUGUGGCUUCCUAAAUAUCUCAGUAAUUUAGUGUUUUUCAAAUUUUACAGACCAUGUGGAACCUAAGAACAAUUAAUGAGCAUUGUUUUAAUAAUUGGUGGAGUACUAGAGUGUUGCAACUCCUCUCUCCUUCAUUUUCCAGCCCUUUUUUAAAUUUCUUUUCAAGGAAUACUUGAAUUAUCAUUUUCAUUCAUGUUAAUCCUAAUUGGGCAUUUGCAUAUGCAUUCAGUUUGGUUUGCAUUGCUAUUAGAUUCUGCAUGUUUUUUAGUUAUAUUUGCAGAUGCUGUAGACGUGUCCCUCGGAAUUUGUUUUUGUUAUUAGAACCAUCAGCUGAUAUACUUUCAUCACUUUCUUUGUUACUGAAAUGCAGCACCUAGACCGACCUGGUGUCAGCUUUUGCUCAAGGACUACUUAUGAUGAUAACGCUAUCACCAAUGCCAUUGAGAUUUAUGCUUCUCCUAGGUAUUUAGUUUUCUUUCUAAUUGUUUUGUUAUUUUAAGAAUGGUUAUAGGUACCUGUGUUUUAAUACCAUUGGUUCCUGCUUUUUAGUGGGGCAGUUCAUUUCACAGCAUCAAAUAAUGAUUGUGGAAUCAGAAACUUUGAUAUGGAGAAGUUUCAACUCUCUAAGCAUUUUCGUUUUCCCUGGCCAGUGAAUGUGAGUCUCUUAGAUUAUGUUCUAAUCUUUUAGUUUCCUACCUCUCUUAAGAUGAUAAGUGAAUACUUUAAUUUUGUUCUUCAGAAGUUUUAUUGCCAUUUCUUUUUGCAUUAAUGAGCAAUUUUUGCAUUAUGACACAUUUGCUCUAUGGAUGAGUCGAUUGAUUUCCCACCCUAAUUUGACUUAUAAAGUUUAUUCUCGAAGUUCAACAAUUAGAAGAAAUAAUGAACAAAUUCGAGUGUCAAUAUGGGCCUUCAGCGACUAGCUAGAAUUGUUGAUAUCUUUCUGUUCUUGUGACAUUCCUUUGCUUUCUAUUUAUGUUCUCAUCUUUGUCCGUUUUUUCCCAUGCUGCAGCAUACUUCUCUCAGUCCAGAUGGUAAGCUACUUCUGAUUGUUGGAGACAAUCCUGAAAGCAUGUUGGUGGACUCUCAAAAUGGAAAGGUAGUACACUACGCCCGUUUCGGUCAAACAACCAAACACUUCUUCAGUUAGUUGCAUCCAAAGAGUACUAGUACAUGAUUGCAAAUCUUGCUAAUCCGAAUUUCCUUAUUUUGCAGACUAUUGCUCCAUUAUCUGGGCACUUAGAUUUUUCAUUUGCAUCAUCAUGGAAUCCUGAUGGCGUGACCUUUGCUACUGGAAACCAGGACAAAACCUGUAGGAUUUGGGACAUGCGAAACUUAUCCAAGUCAGUGGCAGUGUUGAAGGGAAAUCUCGGAGCUAUCCGUUCAAUCCGACAUUCUUCUGACGGCAAGUAUAUGGCUAUAGCCGAGCCUGCAGAUUUUGUCCAUGUAUAUGAUGUGAAAAGUGGGUAUGAGAAAGAACAGGAAAUCGAUUUCUUCGGUGAGAUAUCCGGCAUAUCUUUCAGUCCAGACACCGAAUCCCUUUUCAUCGGGGUUUGGGAUCGUACAUAUGGCAGCCUUCUUGAAUAUGGCCGACGUCAUAAUUACUCAUACGCUGACCUAAUGAUUUAGUCGAAUAUAUUCAAGACGAGGGAUAAAGUAACAUAAUAGACAGUGCACUUGAUCGAACAGCUUGCUUUAUGUAUCCUUUUGGGGUAGGUUGUUAAUGUAUAAAUUGAGUGUCCUGCAAGUUACCUCAAAUUUGUAGUUAUAGUAGGGCGUGUUUGUGUUUAUAAUGGUGUGUGUGUGUGGAAAGUGAGGUAGUAGGAGGCUAGAAGAAGAUGAUGGUGCAAACAGAUCUUGCUGAGUAUCAUCAUCAUCACUAUGUAAUGCAGUAGUUUUCUGUCUUGGAAAAACUCACUAUGGCAAUAACAUAUAUAUAUAUAUAUAUAUCUUGAUAUUUCUUGGUCCUAUUUGUCCAUUGAUUGUCUAGUUAGUGUUUGAGUGGAGCAUAGGUAGUAUGCAUCAUUCAAAGGAAAACUAAGUAGUUUGUUGUAUGAAGAUUUUAUGUUACAUUAGCCUUUUGUAUUUUGUUUAUCUUUGUCAAGUUUUUAUGUCCAUGUUGAUGUAUUACAAAACUUGAUGGAAUAUAUAAAUACUAAAAGAAUAGUAUUGAGAAACUAGGACUUACCUGGUUAACUUUUCCAUAAACAACUAUAAGCUUAUUAAACUUAUUUUCUAUCAAAAAGAAAAAUGUAAACUUAUUUCAAUUUUAAAAAUUAUCAUAACUUAAAAACUAAUUUAAAUUUAGUGAGCCAUGUACAAUCAAAUUAAGUUCAAGUUGCUGUAAUUUUAAGAUACUCAAUUUAAUAUUUAAUAAUAAAAAAAUAAAAAGAAGUUUUUUAUAAAUAAAAUAAUGGGUGAGUCCUAGUUUAAGUCACAAGUAUUUUUUACUUGUAAAUAAUAUAAACAGAUUUUUGCAUAAAGACAUUCUGUGUAGAUAUCAACAAUUAAAGACCACAGAGAAAAAUAAAAAAGAAAUCUAGAAUCCAAAACAAACCAAUAAAACCAAGCCAAGUCACUAGCUAAAAUCUUUAGUCCAUGGUCCAAAAUCACAAUCACAAAGCACCUUAUCUUUCUCUACCACCACAUCUUUUCAUACUAUAUCAUAUAAUUCCAUAACCAACCUUCUCUUCCAUUCCAUUCCAUUCACUCAUCAAACCAAAAACAAUGGCAGCAUCAGCAUCAUCCAUGAUCUCAACAAACGCCCUAACAUCCACACUCCAAAAACACCAAACACACAACCUCAAACCAUCAAACCUAUGUUUCCAAGGCUUCAAACCCUUAACAAGAUCAACAAAACUGACACAGAACAAAAAGAGAUUCUCAUCCCUUGUUGUCAAAGCUGAACUCAACCCUUCACUUGUGAUAAGCUUAAGCACUGGUCUGUCAUUGUUUUUAGGAAGGUUUGUGUUCUUCAACUUCCAAAGAGAGAAUGUUGCAAAACAAGGUUUACCUGAACAGAAUGGUGUGACACACUUUGAAGCUGGUGACUCACGUGCUAAGGAAUAUGUUAGCUUGCUUAAGUCAAAUGAUCCUGUCGGGUUUAACCUUGUUGAUGUUUUGGCUUGGGGUUCUAUAGGUCAUAUUGUUGCUUAUUAUAUCUUGGCCACUUCUAGCAAUGGUUAUGAUCCUAGUUUCUUUGGUUAAUUAAGAUUACUAUGUUGUUCGUUUAUGUUGUUUUAAUUUGUCUUUUCUUGUCCCUUUUAUGUUUAUUAAGAUGAUGAUGAUGAUGAUGAUGUAUAGUUUAUUUGUAUGAGAUAUUCAACAAGUUAAGUUC
This 57961-nucleotide long non-coding RNA is filed under the name Lathyrus oleraceus (garden pea). Its description in RNAcentral is "Pisum sativum (pea) long non-coding RNA (PSAT_LNC021971)". Lineage: Eukaryota; Viridiplantae; Streptophyta; Magnoliopsida; Fabales; Fabaceae. The record is from RNAcentral.